AGUCUCAUCUGACUGGGAAAAUGCCCAGAGCUUGAGAGGAGAAGGAAUUCUUUCCCCAUGGCACUCCAGUCACAAUGAUUUGGGAAGUGUAUUGAAACCUGUUUCACAUGGAUCUAUGCCUUCCCCUAUGAAGAAUUCUUAUUUAUAAUCCCUCAAUUUCUUUGUCUGUGGAGGAAAGUCAACUACUCCCCAACCAUAAAGGUAUGUCAUAUUGAUAUAUAUGUACAGUAAAAGAAUUUUUUAAAAAAAUAGUUUUGGUUUUUAACAUGAACACAUUAUAUUUCAAUUGAUGUGUAAAUUGCUUUGCAAUAGAUGUUGUUUACAUAUUUAUUGAAGUGUAGUAGCCUCUUUGCCUCAUUGCUUUUCUUUUUUCCUGAAGUGUUUUGUUGAUUUUGUGUGAGUUGUUUGUUGAGGGUUGAAGCUUAUAUGUGUCUACUCAAAAGUAAGUCUCACUAAAUUCAGUCUGGCUUACUCCCAGGUAAGUGGGGAUAGAGUUGCAGCCAUAAUCAAUUUCCUACUGGGAACAGAAUGCAUUGGUCAUUAUGUUUGUUCACACGGGAAAAAAUGAUUUCUUCCAGGACCUGGAAACUUUAUCUGUGCUCCUCUGUCCUUUAUCCGAACCCCUUCUGUCAAUGUGGGGACAGCCAUUUGGACUUGACUGCUCAUUUUUGACCACCCAUCCCCUAAAUCUUUGUUCCAAAGGCCAUUUAAAACAUAAGUCAUAUUGAGUGUUACAUUCUACCACACAUUUAACUAUUUUCAGUAUUAAAGGUAAAGAUAAAGGGACCCCUGACCAUUAGGUCCAGUCGUGGCCGACUCUGGGGUUGCGGCGCUCAUCUCAUUUUAUUGGCUGAGGGAGCCGGCGUACAGCUUCCGGGUCAUGUGGCGAACCAGAGCAGCGCACGGAAAUGCCGUUUACCUUCCUGCUGGAGUGGUACCUAUUUAUCUACUUGCACUUCCUGAUUUUGAACUGCUAGGUUGGCAGGAGCUGGGACCGAGCAACAGGAGCUCACCCCGUCAUGGGGAUUCGAACCGCCAACCUUCUGAUCGGCAAGUCCUAGGCUCUGUGAUUUACCCCACAGCGCCACCCGCGUCCCAUUUUCAGUAUUAUAUAUGCAUUUAUUAAAUGAAAUGUUGUAAUGAGAAAGGCAUAUGUGAUUAAGUUGCAUUACACUGACUCAUAUGAUCCCGGACACAAAGGGCAGAACAUCAGCAGGGUGCUAGCCUGUCCCUUCCAGAUACCUGAGUGAGGAAGAUGAGACAACAUGACAAAUUUAUCCUGCACCAUGAUAGAUAGGAGGGUGGACUGCAAUCCUAACCCCAUUUACCUUGGCAUAAUCCUCAUUGAAUUCUGAGUAGACAUGGUUAGAACAGCCGCCAUAGAUGCCCUUGUGAUGGGUCAUUAGACACCUCAUUAACUUUGUCUUUAAGGUGCCACAGGACUCUUAACUGUAUUUGCUGCAACCGACUAACAGGGCUAUCCUUCUAGAAAUUCAUUAACCUUGGAAGUGAACACACAGGUAAGGUAAUUGAUUUGUAAAUAACUGUUCAUGGCUGAGAUAUGUAUGUCUGUUGUGGCACUGUGAUAUACUUUUUUUUUUUUAAAGCACCCAUAUAUUUGCUGAAAGGAAAAAGAGACUUGUGAAAAAUUAACCAGAGGAAUGGAAAAUACUAGAUGAAAGUGUGAACAAAUAUCAGGAUGGAUUGAGGCACUGUUGUGCAUUCCUGCUAUGAGUAGAGGGGCCAAAUACUUCAUCAUAAACAACUUAGUGAAUUCGGUUUGGGGGGAGAGAGUGGAUCCAUAAAUUUGAAGUAAUAAGGAAACGAGGUUGUCAUGGAAGCUUAGAGAACACACUAGUCAGGAUGCUAGACAAAUAUGUUAUUGUCUCUCUUAAACAAGAACAGAACAGAAACAAAAACCACCUGCUUACAACCUGAUACAACCAAGUCUGGCUCCAUUUAGUUACUGCAGGUGGAAUCCAAUGUAGCACUACAUUUUUUGUUGUUCACACAAGGAACAGCAGAAUAUUAUUCUCGUCUCCUCCUUCUGCAUGCCCCCUAAAUCUCUUCUAGGGCAGCACAUUUGGGGAGUGUGCAGGGCAUGCCCAGGACGAGGACGAUGAUAGAAGAAGAAGAAGAAGAAGAAGAAGAGGAGGAGGAGGAGGAGGAGGAGGAGGAGGAGGAGGAGGAGUUUGGAUUUGAUAUCCCGCUUUAUCACUACCCGAAGGAGUCUCAAAGCAGCUAACAAUCUCCUUUCCCUUCCUCCCCCACAACAAACACGCUGCGAGGUGAGUGGGGCUGAGAGACUUCAGAGAAGUGUGACUGGCCCAAGGUCACCCAGCAGCUGCAUGUGGAGGAGCGAAGACGCGAACCCGGUUCACCAGAUUACGAGUCUCCUGCUCUUAACCACUACACCACACUGGUCAUAUUAUGCACAUGGAAAUCAUUUCAUUGGUAUUAGUGGAGGACUGCCUUAUAGCUAGCUCAGGCAUAGGCAAACUCUGGCCCGCCAGAUGUUUGGGACUACAGUUCCCAUCAUCCAUGACCACUGGUCCUGUUAGCUAGGGAUGAUGGGAAUUGUAGUCCCAAACAUCUGGAGGGCCAGAGUUUGCCUAUGCCUGAGCUAGAUAAUGAACCUAUCUGCACAUUCCUCCCCUUUGCUUAAAGAAAUAACAGUUAAAUCAGCACUGUUGAGACAUCUAUUUGUCUCAAAGGGUUCCAAAUAAUGUCUAUUGAUCACUAGAAAUCCCAGGUGAAGCUGCCUCUUGAGAUAUAGUUCAAUAAUAUUUGAGAUAUAACUAGUUCAGAACGACCAACUGGGCUUAGAAGAGUUGCAAAAAGGGUUAUAAAAGAAUAUAGCUUUGAUUAAACCUGGUCUCCCUUCUUUUCAUAUGUACGGGGGAAAGAAAGUAAAGCUCUCCCAACAGCCUCACAAAUCAGGAGCAUAGCCAGGAUUUGGGGGGGGAGGGGGCAGAACCAAGCUAUCUGUGACUCAGUUGGUCAUUAAGUUAAGUAUCUUUAUUUAUUUAUUUGAUUUGGAGGGCGGCAGCUGCCCCCGUCACAAACCUGUCUGUGGAGAAUGUAUAUGGACUGCCAAUGUUUUAAGAACAUGUAAAAUGGCACCAUAAACUUAAUGCUAUGUUCUUUUCUCUGUGGAGACUGUAUAUAAUUUUAUAUAUAAUUAUAUAAUCUUCUUAAUUAGAAAUUGGAAAAAAGGGUUCCAAAUAACUGGGUGAGAUGAGUAAUGAUCUGAAAUGGUGUCCGUCUUACAAGAUGACUCAGGAAGAGUUUUGAAACAUGAACUUUGGCAUGUUAGACACCACUUGUACCUUUGGGAUAGUACCUUUUCAGGAAUGAGAAGAGGGGGUUGGUCAGUUUCUAUUAAGACUUCCACGUUCAGGCCCAGCAGUUGAUCUGGGUGAUCUUUAUUUGUUCCUUAUACAAUAGCGGAAGGCUGCCUUUUCUCCAACGAGUUUGUUAGAAACUUUCUCUUCCAGCUCUGAAUUUUCCCACACUUCUUACAGAAAUGUCCAUAACUCUUUUCACAUGGAAAUCUGAUGAGGCAACUUUUUCUAUGGUAGCCUGCUUUGGAAGGAGCUUUGUCUUUAGGAGUAGAAUGGGUGUCCUGGCUUGUCUUCCAGUUGGGAAUUCUGGUUUCUCCAGACAACACAAGUCCUGUGAGUUGCAGGAAAACCUUCAAGAGGGAGGUAAUAUCAUUUCUUCUGCAACUGCCCAGCUUUUCCCCACCACCAAAUCUGCCUUCUGGGCUUAAAUCAAUGCACUUGCCAAAUUUGGUUUUGUUUUUUUUUAUUCAAAGUUAUAACAAAACAUAUUAUCCAAAAACAUUUCCUUAUUUCCCCCGCCAUUUUUCUCCCUCCCCCUCCCCCCCACAAAACCCAUCCCCCCACCCCACCCCACCCCGACUUCCCUCAGUUCCAGUCUUUGGUUUCUCCAAUAAUGCUAUUUUCUGCAUGUUACAAAGUUGCAUAGAUCCUCAAACUAUUUAGCUAAUUAUUAUCAAUAAAAAAAAAGUUGUGAAUGUUUAUUCAAAACCUGCCAAGGAGUCCAGUUCGCUUUGUUGCGUCUUCAGAUACUUUGUGAAAGGUUCCCAUUCAUCCUUAAAGUCACAGUUAUCCUUGUCCCGUAGCUUAUAUGUCAAUUUUGCCAGUUCUGCAUAGUCCGUCAAUUUUUCUUGCCAUGAUUCUUUAGUUGGGAUUUCUUCAGUCUUCCAUCCUUCCAUCCAAAUUUGGUUUUAAGGGAAGUUCAUCCUUCUUCCUUUUUUAAAAAAUUGGUGUGGAAUUUUUUUUCUAAGGCGAAGGGUUUCACUUUAAAAGCCACCAACACUGAACAGCUGUUGGGAGCCCAGUUGACAGCUUCCCUGUUUUCCUGUGCCUACAGAAAUGCCCCAAGCUGGAUUUUCAGGAAGCGUCACCACCAGAGAAGAAAGCAGAUUGCAGGGCCACAAAAGGAAGGAUAUUUAGAAUGAAAAUGACAACAUCACCCUCCAAAAAACCCCAUCCACCGAAAAUAAAAGCAAGAUAAAAGCAUAAAAAGCCUUGAAGACUAUUCAUGAGAAUUUCACCAAACAUUUUCUCUCUCCUUUGAUAAUUGUUGUGUUUUCCUCAUUAAACAAUAGGGAAUUGGGGGCAAAUGUAGAAGAAACGUUCGGAGCAGCUCUGAAAAACAAGGAAAGGACCAGAGGUGUCGUUCUCGUAAGGAGGCUAUGGCCCUCAAGGCACAACUAAUUGACAGAGGGAAACAAAUACCCUUUCACUGCAGCAGCCGAUAACUCAAGGCUCAUGAGAUUAUGAUAUAAAAUGUACUAAGACAAAGUGAUUGCCACAACAAUGGAGAGAUGUACCCUGUGGAUGGAAUGCAUCCAAGAUGCUCAUAAAUCUGUAAUGAGAAGAAGAAAAAGCUUGAGAAAUGACCCCAUGUGGAAAAGGAGGAAAGGGAGCACUAGAGGAAAAGAGAGAGGGGCGGUGUAAGCUGCAAGAAACUACAGCGGCAUAUUCAAAACACGGGUACGGGGGGCAGAAAGAAGGGGAGAAACAGGUGGGGGAUAAAAAGGGGGAAAUCUGGAGAGAAACAUAGCAUGGCAGAGCAUGGCAUUCUGAAUGUAUGUGAUACCUAUGAAAAAAGACCUUGCUCUAGCAUGUGAGGGCAGGAGAGAGAAGAACGUGUUCUUGAAGCACAGAAAGAAAAACCUCAUUAAGAACUACAGUGGUACCUUGGGUUACGGACGCUUCAGGUUACAGACUCCACUAACCCAGAAAUAUUACCUCGGGUUCAGAACUUUGCUUCAGGAUGAGAACAGAAAUCAUAGAAUUCUAGAGUUGGAAGGGACCACGAAACUGUUCUUAACCUGAAGCACCACUUUAUCUAAUGGGGCUUCCUGCUGCCGCUGCGCCGCCAGAGCACGAUUUCUGUUCUCAUCCUGAAGCAAAGUUCUUAACCUGAAGCACUAUUUCUGGGUUAGCGGAGUCUGUAACCUGAAGCGUAUGUAACCUGAGGUACCACUGUAUAUGAUUGUGCUCCAAAAUGACCUACAAGGAGAGCAUAUGCUUAGAUCAGGCACAGGCAAACUCGGCCCUCCAGAAGUUUUGAGACUACAAUUCCCAUAAUCCCUGACCACUGGUCCUGUUAGCUAGGGAUGAUGGGAGUUGUAGUCCCAAAACAUCUGGAGGGCCAAGUUUGCCUUAUGCCUGGCUUAGAUCGUAAAUAGCAUUGGUGUCCCCCUCACCCCAAAUCCUUUGAAAAGCUCUAGUUUAGCUUCCCCCAAUAGUAGUUAUUGUUUUACCUAUUAUUUCUUACAUUUAUAUCCUGCUUUUCCUUCACAGAGUACACAUGGCUCUCCACAUCUCUGGUUUUUUUAUCCUCACAACAGCCCUGUGAGGUAGGUUAGGCUGAGAGGAAGUGGCUUCAUGGCUGGCCGGGGAUUUGAUCUCUGGUCUCCCAGAGUCAUAGCUGUCAACUUUCCCCCUUUUCUUGUGAGGAAUCCUAUUCAGAAUAAGGGAAUUUCCCUUUAAAAAAGGGAAACGUUGACAGCUAUUCCCAGAGUCCCAAUCCAAUACUCUAACCACUACACUAGAAGGGAGCAGGGUGCAAAUGGUUUCUGUUUGCAUUCCCUGAGGUAAAUGGUAUUGGGGGGGGGAAGGAGUUUGUGUUGGCUGUGUUGCAUUGUGUACAGUGACUCACGAUGAUGAUGCAUCUGGUGGCGGGUUGGGCGUCCCUGUCAUUACACAUUCCUUGUAACAAACAGAUUUAAUAGCAGUUGGUGUAGUUGAGCAUCUACUUAAUUAGUUUUAAUAGUCUUCAUCAACUAGUAUGUUCCACCUUGUCCAAGAGAGAAGGCAAUUAAUUCCUCAACACUUUGCAUGGCUGUUACUGACUGCAAUCAUAAUCAACACACCCUGAACAUUUUAAUAGCCUCUCUGAAGCACUGCUUUUGGAUGUGAGCGGCUGCAAAUGGCACAGAUUCAAAGGCAGGAAUGGUGCACUUGGAUGCGAGCCCAUCUCUAAUCAGCAGCAGAAAGUGUGAGCACUGAAGCCCUUUGCAUUCCUAUUCACUGCAAGAACAGCCCUUCUUGUAACAGAACCGGAACUGUAUCCCUAGCAACUCUGGAAAAUAGAUUUUUAUUUCUUUUAAAGGAAGGAAUCAAUACAGGAUAAUGCAAAAUCCAAUCAAUGGACAGAAGCUACAGAAAUACAAAUAGAGCUAUACCUAACAAAUACAAGAAUUCACAUUCAUUAGAGUCCUUGGGAAAUAAACGUUGUGCACCUAUUCAGCAUUAAGGAGGACAGUUGCUGUUGUUGUUUUAAAAAACAGAACUUUUAAAAUAUUCAGAUCCUUUGAAAUCACAAGACAGAACUCCCAUCGGACACCAGUAUUUGAUGUGAAAGAUUAAAUCUUGUCAAAAUAAUGGUGUAAUAUUUUGGUGUUAACAGAAGCAAAUUAUUGAGUGCAAGAACAGCCUCUUUACUAUCCAUUUGUACAAUACCUUCCAUGGUGUUUCAGUUUCAGAAAAAAUACCCUUGCCGUGAUAAUAAGAUAUUAGAUUAGGGCUGUAACCAGAUUGAAGGUCUAAUUGAUUUGAUUAAGACUUCAUGUGCAUAAAAUAACAGUUCAGGAGAGAAAGAAGAUAUUCUUUCUUUGCUACAGCAAAUACUAACUUAGACUGAAAUCCCGUACAGAUUUGCAUGAAAGUAAGUCCAACUAAGGUCAAUGAUGUUUGCUUCCGAGUAGACAGCGCACAAGGUUAUAGUUUAAUUGUAUGCAUGUAAUUAAAAGGUUUGUCUUCUGUCCAGGGGUGCCAGCUUGAAUAAAAUAUUGUGGGGUGGGGGGAAUAAACUCCGACCCACAUAAUCAGUCACAUGAUGCAGUGCACACACACCAUUUGAAUGGCAAUACACAUCAUCUUUUUGGGGGGGGACCCACCCUCCUCAUAUAAUUUCACUGAGGGGGCCCAAGACCCCUUGGCCCCUAGGAAUUGGCUCCUAUCAUUCUGUCCCCCAGUGGUGCUUCCAGAGCAAUUUACAAAAACAAGAUUAACCACAUUAAUAAGAUAUAGCAAACAUAAUAGUGGGGUAGGAUAGCUGAAAAUAAUGUCCAUAUAUUUCACAUCUGGCAACCAAUGUGUUCCUUUGGUUUCAGAGAGUACAUGGGUAGAGGUAAAGGUAAAGGGACCCCGACGACUUCCGGGUCAUGUGGCCAGCAUGACUAAGCCGCUUUUGGCGAACCAGAGCAGCGCAUGGAAACGCUGUUAACCUUCCCGCCGGAGCGGUACCUAUUUAUCUACUUGCACUUUGAUGUGCUUUCGAACUGCUAGGUGGGCAGGAGCAGGGACUGAGCAACGGAAGCUCACCCUGUCGCGGGGAUUCGAACCGCCAACCUUCUGAUCAGCAAGCCCUAGGCUCUGUGAUUUAACCCACAGCGCCACCCACAUCCCUAGUACAUGGGUAGACAAGACUAAAAAUCCCAGGACACAAUUUUCACAGCCCUCUAACAGCUAUGGUGGCUCAUUUACCAGAAGUAAUGUAUUUAGCGUUAACUCUAGAAGUGUAUAUUCGAUUCUGACCAAACUAAGUCUCCUAGAGCAAAAUAUGCAUCACGAGGCUGUUUGGUCAGAAUCAAGUAUACACUUCUAGGGUUAAUGCUAAAUGCAUUACUAAAUACUAUCUGAAACCAAAGGGGUGCAUUCGUUUCCAGAUAUGAUUCUUUUUUCAGCUCUUCUACUCCACUACAAUAGGGUUGCCAUAUUCAAAAAGUGAAAAUCUGGACACAAAAAUUGUUGAGCGUAUUUUUAAAUGAAAGUUGCCAAAAUCCAGAUUUUCCCAGACACUCCAGCGAUUUCUGCCCAAACACCUGCUUCCGACUGCAGUAUUCCAGCUAUGUCCAGGAAAUUCCAGACAUCUGGCAACCCAACACAAUAACAGCAAUACUUUCAAACAAAAGUUUAAAAUGGUACUUAAAAGUGUUUCAAGUAUGGCUGAAUCAUAUAUUAGCUGAAGACAGCAGGUUUAUUCUUCCCCUUUGUAGGAAAGUUCCAUGCAUGCUAAGAAAAAAACAGCUAGGGGAAGGAUAGACAGCCUUAGAAGGUCAUGCAUCACUUGUUCUUCCACACAUUUUAAGAAGACUGUUGCCAAAGAAGACAAGGGAAAUCACUGUGUAUUAAAAUAUAGCUUGAUAGGUUACUGCUUAUCAAAGGUCAAUGUCAAAAAUGCAAAGUUGCAGAGUAAGUGGAAUGUGAGCUGAAAAUUAACCUAAGGGCAUAAUUCAAAGAAACUAAAGUGUUUUUGUUUUUUGUUUUUUAAAAGAACUCUAACCAUUCAAACAGCAGAAAAUGUAUAAUGGCAGGAAUAAAUAUCCACAAUUCCUAAUAACUCUGUGCAACUGGAUGUUGCUGUGGAGAGUCAGAGGCACACAUUAAGAACUGCUUACUUAUUAAUGGAACUUCAUUUCUUAUUUUAAUACAGAACAUAACUGAGGCCUAGAAAGUCUGAUAACAGUAAAACAUCUAAUCAAUUAUGGAAACAAGAACCGGAGGAGAGAAUUUCGAUUUGGUAUGCAUUUAAAGCCGAAUCACUUUCCAAAACAUUAUAAGAACUGAAACACAGCUAUUCUUCUAAAUUCACAGUUAUCUGAAUUUUGCAAUGCGGUGCUCCAACCGACAAAAAACUUUACAAAAAUGCAUGUUUUAGGGUAAAGUAUGCAUAAACAUGAAGGCAAAACCAAUGUACAAAAUGUGUCACAUUAGGGGAAACUGCUAGCAAAAUUUUGAUAUAAAUUGCAUAUAAAGUAUAUUUAUUAGGAUAAAUUCUCGCUAAAAUGGUGAGGAAUUUUCAUGAGGAAUUUUCAAAAGACACACAGCUACGUUCGCAUAUGGGGAGAAUUGAGUUGCCAUUUUCUUUAGCUAUACAAGGCAGCCAAGGACUUGGAGCUCUUUUUAAAACUCGAAAGCAAGAGUCCCAUUGCUGUUCCCAAGCCACACAAGGUUUUCUCUGCUUCUUCCCACUACCUGCACUUACUCCAAUAGUUUCCAAGUGUUAUGAUGCAAAAUGAUGCCACAAUGUUCCCAGGCCACUCCAGGAAGUUUGUCUGGCAAAUGGACAGCCAUGCUUCCAGAAGGGAGGAACAUGUGUCAUGUCACUCUCAAGCCACUCUAGGAAGUGUGGAAAGGUGCUUUCAAGCCACACUUCCUGGAGGGACUUGGGAGUCAUGUGAUGUCACAAUGCAUCAUUCAAAAGUCUAACAAGUACUAUUGGAAGAGGCAGAGAGGGUUUCUUGAUGGUGUGAGCGGUUUGGGAUCUUGUUUUACCUUUUGUUUUGUUUUGUUUUAAGCCAGGCUUCCUCAACCUCAACCGUCCAGAUGUUUUGAGACUACACUUCCCAUAAUCCCUGACCACUGGUCCUGCUAGCUAGGGAUCAUGAGAGUUGUAGGCCAAAAACACCUGGAGGGCAGAGGUUGAGGAAGCCUGUUUUAAGCUAACCACCUCCGCCCCUUGACCACCUUAUACUGUUAUUGCAGGCCCCUCCCCAGGUGAAGUUUUGUGUUUUUUUUAAUUGUUGUUGUUGUUGUUUAGUCGUUUAGUCGUGUCUGACUCUUCGUGACCCCAUGGACCAGAGCAUACCAGGCACUCCUGUCUUCUACUGCCUCCCGCAGUUUUCUCUUCUCCUUGUGCCCUCCAUCUUUCCCAACAUCAGGGUCUUUUCCAGGGAGUCUUCUCUUCUCAUGAGGUGGCCAAAGUCUUGGAGCCUCAGCUUCACGAUCUGUUUUUUUAAUUACCCAUUAAGAAAUCAAGAGAAGACCACAUCCAUUUUUCAUGUGGGUGUGAUAUCUUCAGGAAAAUUAAAUGAAGUUUCAGCUCAGCACGACUUUCUUCACUCCUUUGACACCACACAAUUUAAUAUCUCGGCACACAUGAUCCCAAAAGAAUGAGUGCCUGUGCACAGAAUUAUUUUUAUAUUAUGUUUGUAUAACAUCGGGUGUAUUGUAGAUAUUAUUUGUAACAGCCUUUUUUGCAGAUGUAAUCAAAGCUCCCGGCUAGAUCUUAAUGCUAUCCUAAUUAUACAUUUUGUAUUUUGAUGUUCAGAGAAAAUAGUUUCAUUCGAAACUUGGGAUCCAGGUCUUCAAUUUAUGGCCAAGCAAAACAACACAUAGUCGUCACAUGUCUCUGAUACAGGUUCAGCAGAUAGAAAUUAGGUGAUGGCUAAUAAUGGCUUAGGAACUCAAUUUUUAGCAGCUCACAAUGCAAAGAGAAAAGUGAGUGUUAUAGUCCCAGAAGUUCUUCUCUGACUAGCAUUUUAUUCUGAGCCAGAGAAUAAUAUGAGUUAUUCCUCCUUCCUGCUUGGCAUCCUUUAAUACCACCUGAAAUCAUUGUGUUAGGAGUCAUAUUUUUUCAAUAAUGGAUACUUUGACAAUUGUUUCUAAGAGGAAAAUGACAUUUUGAAAUACCCCAGUAAUAGAUAUAUUUUGGUUAGAUCUGGUUCUGUCUCGUGAUAAAAUUAAUUCCCAUCCAAUGGUAGCUAAACUUAUGGUAGUACGCCAAGUCUUCUCAAAUCUGUUAAAGAAUUGUUUUAGCUUAAUAAGUAAAGUUCAAUCAAGUAAUUAAUCUCUUGAUUAUUUUAAGUGGAAUUUGCACAAUGUAUUCUAUAUAACGAGCUACAGUAAGCAAUAAAUUAUUUAUGCAGUCAAGAUUACAUGCAACCUAGUAGCUUGAUGAAUGGCAUAGUCAAAAUGACUGAAUAAUAUAUCCCCUUUUAGUAAGGAAAGCACCAAGUUCAAAGGAAAUCUCAUAAAUGUACUAAACAGGGACUCUGCAUACAGGGAACUUAUGCAAAUUAAAUUAAAAUGUAAGUAAUACACGUGGCUAAGCAGAAGAACAAGGUCUUGAAGGUUGAUAACAAUUUUCAUAUUUUUCUUUUAAGACUAUAACAUGCCCCAUCUGCUUGACUACAUUUUUUUUAACGUAGGAAGAACAUGCCAUGGACUUUCUGUAACUUGUGCAUAAUAUGUGAAUAUGUGAAUGCUAGACUCCAUAUUCCUCUGGUGGGUAGAGGAACAAGUAGCCCAUAAGAAGGAACAUGGAAGCUUUACUGGCUGUAGCCCUUUUCCUUCCCUUCUCCAGUUUCCUAGCUGUGCCCUCUAACCACCCAACUCCAUCAAGCUGACCAUAAUGACUGAAUAUUCUGUUUUGGCUUAAUGGUGAUAUUCAGAUUUCCAGUUCAGGGCCCCAGUGUGGGCUUGGGAACUCUGAUUCAGAUAAUACACUAAUUGCCUCACUUGAGGGGGAGCUUUCAGCACCCCCUUCUACUGUGGUCCAGCCUGAAGGCAUGGUUCUUCCCUCAUCUUCAGAGGCCAACCACGAUUCCACAAACACAUGAGAUGGCAGAAUAGGCUACAAUUACCUAUUGCAAAUAGAAGGGACUCGGGUGGCGCUGUGGGUAAAACCUCAGUGCCUAGGACUUGCUGAUCGUAAGGUCGGCGGUUCGAAUCCCCGCGGCGGGGUGAGCUCCCGUCAUUCGGUCCCAGCUCCUGCCCACCUAGCAGUUCGAAAGCACCCCUAAGUGCAAGUAAAUAAAUAGGUACCGCUUUAUAGCGGGAAGGUAAACGGCGUUUCCGUGUGCUGCGCUGGUGCUGGUUCGCCAGUUGCAGCUUCGUCACGCUGGCCACGUGACCCGGAAGUGUCUUCGGAUGGCGCCGGCUCCCGGCCUCUUGAGCGAGAUGAGCGCGCAACCCUAGAGUCGGUCACGACUGGCCCGUACGGGCAGGGGUACCUUUACCUUUACCUAUUGCAAAUAACUCUCCCAGGAGAGCAUAGCCACGGAGAGGUCAAGCCCUGCCACAGUCAUUUUGAGGCUUCACAUAACUAAGCCUUUGCUGAGACAUCAUUUCCCCAAACUCUGCUAGCUCUGUGUUUGUAUGUGUGUCAUGAGGCUUGCUCCGAGGUAACCACUAGAAAUUAAGCAAAUUUCCCCCUCCAAAUUUUCUCAGUAGUCAUCCCUACUCUUUGCCAUCCCUUUAGGUACAAAUCCAGAAAUGGCACUGUCUCUUCUUCUUCUUCUCUGGCGAUUGUACUUCAUGUUACAUAUAGUUCUGAAAUUCCUCCUCUGAGUUUUUAAAAAAACAGAUAGACCCAAUAAUCACUGCUCCCUUGGCAACGGUGCUUCCUUCUCUUCUUCAUGAACUCUUGAGGCAUUUCUGUUUUAUAAUAUUCAUCCAUGGAAGGAGGAAGUGGCAAUCAAAAUGGGAACUAAGGCACCUGGAACAGAAUUCUAGGCCUUAGUCCUCAUGCUUUCAUUUUAGCUUAAGUGGAGAAAACAAAACUUCUAAGAAAGCCAUCCUCUCCAAAAUGGGUAAAUAAUGUUGGAAUUGAAGGGGGGGGAAUGGUCUGCCGCAAUCUCCUUUAGACCUGGCCCAUUUAUCCUGAAAAUUGAGAAGAUGCUUUAGAGCUCUUCCCAAGGGCAUUUCCUACCCAUGGAUUUUCAGGAUGGAGAUCUUGAAGCAAAUGGAAGAAGAUGAGAGAAAAAUCUAGGUAGCGCUCCAUCUUGUUUUCUUUCCCACUAGAAAUCUGGUGAAUUUCUUGCCCAGGGACAGCAUGUGGCAGAAUUUGUUACAUACAUAUCUCACAUACAAAGCAAGCUAUGAGCCACCAAGUCAAGAAGGGGGAAUAAUGGAAUCAGUAGGCUGUUCGUGAGAGGUCAUGUGCUAUCUCAAAUAGUUAAUCUAUAAACCUCCAUCAAAAUCAAUCCCAUCCUUUAUAAAGGUUGAGCAUAUUUAGGCACACAUAUACUCUUAACUAGUGAUGUAUGGAAGUGGGAAGUGAGAGCUGGAUCAUAAAGAAGGCUGAUCAUUGAAGAAUGGAUGCUUUUGAAUUCUGGUGCUGGAGGAGACUCUUGAGAGUCCCAUGGACUGCAAGAAGAUCAAACCUCUCCAUUCUGAAGGAAAUCAGCCCUGAGUGCUCACUGGAAGGACAGAUCAUGCAGCUGAGGCUCCAAGACUUUGGCCACCUCAUGAGAAGACAAGACUCCCUGGAAAAGACCCUGAUGCUGGGAAAGAUGGAGGGCACAAGGAGAAGGGGACGACAGAGGAUGUGAUGGUUGGAUAGUGUCUUCGAAGCUACCAGCAUGAGUCUGACCAAACUGCGGGAGGCAGUGGAAGACAGGAGUGCCUGGUGUGCUCUGGUCCAGGGGGUCACCAAGAGUCGGACACCACUAAACGACUAAACAACAACAACAACAAUACUCUUAACACAAACACAGCACCCCAAUACAUAUAAAAUGAUGUUAUAUUGAACUCUCAAACAUAAUAAUCCAGCAUAUGUCAUUGUUACAGAGAGGCAUGUAGAAUUAGCCUGAAAAAUAUAAUUCAUGUAGUUAUAACAAAAGAUGAAAUAGUCCUGAAUUAUCAUUUGAUGUGAUAAUGAAGGCAUUUACAGCUUUGAGAUUCGAGACCGUGCCUGCAGCAUAUUUUGAUGGGAAAUAUGCCAGAAUGCCUGUAAAUGGCCAUUUGCGGCCAGAGACAGGUGGGAAAUAUUGUUCAUUAUGUGCAAUAUUGCUCCCUGUAUAAUUCUCCUAUGGACUGAUUUCUCAAAGGAAUUCUUCAGAGAGUUUUCUUAUUGAAGAGUAUGGGGGAAAUCAGUUAUUUGCUGAUGAAGGCUAUGCCUAAUGUCUGGAGAAUGUACACAAUUCCGUCGAUAUUUUGUACAUUCCCCUGUUAGCGAUUGCAUAUAUUGUCUGGGAAAUGUGCACAUUUCCCUCUUCAUAGACGGAUUAUGUGCACAUGCUCCAUGAGGCCUCAAUGGAUGGUUGUUAUCACAUUACCCACUCAACUUACAUUUUCUCUCAAAGAGACAGAGAGACAGAAGACUUGGCAGCUGACAUAAUUUCAGUUUAACUUGAAGUUGUGAUCAUACUGUCCACAGGUAAUGUUGUGAAAAGCUGGUGUUGUGAAGGAAAAACUGUUCAGAUAGGCCGGUCAUUAUAGACAUCUGCUAGGCCUUGGAUUAUUGUCUGAUUAUUGUUAUUAGAUUGUUGAUAUUAAGCAAAAAUAAUACCUUUUAUAGGAAGAAUCUUUUGGAACUUGAAAGAGCACGCUUUUACAGGAAGUAGCUUUUGGAGGUUGAGAUUUCAGCAGGAGAAACUACAUUUAAUAACCAGAACUGUGGGAGGACUUCAGCUUGGCAGCAACAGCUGAAAUUAGAAUCCAACAAAAACGAGCUUUUCACAAGGAAUUAGAAGGUAACAACACAUGAACUUGAAAAAUGUGUUCUAUUUAAACUGUUGAUUACUGAGACUUCAUUGUUCGGGUCUAUUUCAUGCACUGUUGUAAUAGCUGCAUGAGUUAUAAUUUUCAGGAUAAUUCUGUAUGCCUGACUGCAAUAAUUGUAUAUGCUGGAUUGUUAUGUUAGGGAGCACAUUAUCACACCUUUUUAUAUGUACUGGGUUCUUACCAGGGCUUUUUUCAGCUGGAACUUGCAGGAACUCAGUGCCAGCACCUCUCAGGUGUGCCCCAGUGCCAUUACAGUGGAACCUCGUUUUUUGAACAUAAUCAGUUCCAGAAGACCGUUCGACAACCAAAAACUCAAUACAGAAACCUCAGUACAAUAGGGAAACUCAAAACGGAAACCAAGUGGCAUGUUCAGCUUCCAAAAAUCAUUCGAAAACCAGAGCAGUUACUUCCGGGUUUUCGGCCUUCAAAAGUAGAAAUGUUUGACUUCCAAGAGGAUCGAAAACUGAGGUUCCACUGUAUAACAGAACAAGGGAGGUUUUUGUGGUGAGUUCCGGCACCUCUUUUUCUAGAAAAAUAGCCCUGGUUCUUACAUUCGUUUUUAUGUGUGCCUGAAAAUGAACCCAUUCUGAAAGAGAUGGGAUGGUUUUUGAUGAAGGUUUGUGGAAGAAGGGACCCUUAUUUGUGCAUAAACUUCUACAUGGAUAUGCUUGCCAGUUUAGAACCAAAGCAUGAAACUGGCCACUACGUUCCCUUGCUUGGGAGGUUCCCAGAGGGGGAAACAUCUAACAGGAACUGGGGCGUCUUUCUGGUUCAUUCAACUUCCACUCUGUUAGCUGGCAAGUGGCAAUAUGCCCCAUGUUGCAUUUUGUGAUGUUCUCUCUGCCUCUUCUCCCAUUCGCCCCAUACAUAAAAUGAGAAGGAAGACCACAAGAAUUCUUCUUGUAAGCUAGGCCCAUACCUCUGUUUCACAAGUCUUGAGACAAGACACAACCAGAACUAGAUAUAAACCAAUUCAGGCAAAUGCCCUCGGAGAGAAAUCUGGGAGUCCUCGCAAGCUCCUCCAUCAAUGGCAGUUAUCAAUCAAAGGAAAAGAAUGUCCCGAGGCUAUUAUGCCAGAAAGGCCUGCGACGUAAUGAGCAACGAAGACUGAGCUGCCGGAGUCUCCCCAUCAGGGCUUUGCAUCAAAAAAAGCUGAAGAUGUGUGGUACCAUAAAGCAGAAUACAGCCUAGAGCUGCUGCCUUGUGUUUGUUUAGUGGUUUAGUCGUGUCCGACUCUUCGUGACCCCAUGGACCAGAGCACUCCAGGCACUCCUGUCUUCUGCCUUAGUAGGCUGCUGCCUUAAAGGUAAAGGGGCCCCUGACCAUUAGGUCCAGUUGUGACUGACUCUGGGGCUGCGGCGCUCAUCUCGCUUUAUUGGCCGAGGGAGCCGGCGUACAGCUUCCGGGUCAUGUGGCCAGCAUGACUAAGCCGCUUCUGGUGAACCAGAGCAGCGCAUGGAAACGCCGUUUACCUUCCCGCCGGAGCAGUACCUAUUUAUCUACUUGCACUUUGACGUGCUUUCGAACUGCUAGGUCGGCAGGAGCAGAGACCGAGCAACGGGAGCUCACCCCAUUGCAGGGAUUCGAACCGCCGACCUUCUGAUCAGAGAGUCCUAGGCUCUGUGGUUUAACCCACAGCGCCACCCGUUGGAGUAGGCUCCAACUGCAGUAUAAACUUAAAGUAGUAUCAUACAACUUUAAACUUCAGUGGUUUCCCCCAAAGAAUACUGGGCUGUGCAGUUUUUGAGGGUCCUGAGAGUUCUGAAGGGUCCCGGAGUUCUGAAAGAUUGAUUGUUAAACUACUCUGCUGCUCAUGUAUAUAUAUAUAUAUACUUAGCCUAGUCUAUCACAAGGCUGUCACAGAGAUAAAAGAAUGCGGGGAAUCAUAGGGCUCACUGUGAACUUCCUGUUUCUGGAUUUGCCCAAAGUAUAUCCCACCCCAUAAUCAGGCAAAUUCCAAAAUGAGAAGAAAUGAAAUCAGACCUCCUGGAACUGGGACAAGACAUUAUGUCAACAGGUUAGGGUGAUGGGUCAAAUCAGCCCAACAAAUGUGCAUAUUACUUAGAGAAUGUGCAAAAUUCAGCUGAAAUAGGCACUUUCUCCAAGACCUGCUGGAGAUUGUGUGCAAUCCCCUUCUCGUGGUCAAAUUACGUGCAUGUUCUCCAUGAGGCCUGGUAAAGGUGCACAAUGGCCGGCUGUUGUGCAGAUAAACCUCUUAAUUUACAGGUCCCCUAACAUAUCCAUUGAUGUGUGCUACAUCUGUAGUUUUGCAUAACUGUGAAAUUAAACCAAACCAGUCUUCUCCCUCUUCUCCCUCUGACCACUCAUCAUCAUCUCACCACCACUCCUCAGGCUCUGAGCCUUCUUCCCUAGGUGGUUCACGAGUUGGUUCCUCCCACCAUUCCUCUGCGUCCAACCAGUCCAUGGCACCAAAGAUGGGUACAGCUUCUUUGCCUUCUUCCCUCUGCAGAACUAAUGCCAUAUUUGAGAGAGUGGAUCUAGAGUUGGAAAAAAUACAGGGAGAAAGGUCAAAGCAUCCUCUCCAAAAGCACAAUUUCCCCUGAUCUUCAAAAUUGCCUCAGACCUGCUAGGAGUAAUGAAUUAGAUCAAAACUGCAGGAUAUUCUACUAAUGAAUUGCUCAUGUCCCCUUUUGAAAGGAUUGUAAAACUUUGCCUCUGGAGAUGCUUUUUUGGGGUGGGGUGGGGGUUGGUUCUGUGAUUCACUGAUGUUUCAUGUCAGUAUAUGAGUGCAGAUUCUGACAUUCACCCACCAAAACCUAUUAACACUUGGAAACAGGAAAUACACAAUACUGAAACUAUUCAGAGAAAAUCAAUGGAGGUCUCUAAUGAUGUUAUCCUAUGUGCACAUCCAUUCCAAUUCUUAAUUUGCUAACGACUAUCAGCAACCCGUUAAGUAUCAUUGGGAAGUGAUAAAACGCCUUAUGUUUCAUUAUAUUGUUCCAAGCACACAUCUCUUCCCUAGCAAUUGAAACUCAGAGAGUACAGCAAGCCCACGUCAUUAUGUCAAAUUAAGCAUUUAGUGGAAUAGCCUUAGUCAACAGACUAAUUUCUACAGCUAGCAGUUAACUGAGGUUGGGUUCCACAAAAUUCCCAGGAAUUUUUUGUGUGCUUUUUUGUGCAUUUUAGUAAAGCUCUGUACUCUCACAAGAUCAAGGGACAGAGAUGGGAAAGAGUUUUUAACUAAGCAGCCUUACAGCCUGCCUCUCCAGCAAUUACAGUAACUUCAUUUCAUUUCUAAAAUCAACAACUUUCCCCUUUAUGCCACCCUUACUGACUCCCCCCCUCAUUGGAGAACUCUAUAUCCACAGCAAAUAUUGACUCCCAGUAGAAUAUGUGAUCUCCCUUCUGAAAUGUGAAUCAAUUCUGUAUCUGAAUUUACUUACUAAUUGUGCUGUUUCGAAAAUAAUGGUGUGCUGAAGGCCCCUUUUGUAGGGGAAGAAAACUUUCAGGAACUGAUGUACGUGUUUUGGCACAGUGCUUCUUAUUAACUAAACCCUCGUUUUUAAUCUACAAUAAAAAUCCUUGUCAUAUCACGGCUGAUUCUAAAUUGGUAGUAUAGAAAUAUGGUGCUGGAAGAAUUAAGCACGUUACAGAUUAAUUUAAAAUAUUAUAAUAGGUUAUUUUAAUUUUUGUUCCGCUAAUUUUCGUCCAUAGUUUAAAUUGUGUUCAUAAUUAUUUUUUAAAUGGGAAUGAAUAAAACCAUAGUUAUAGGAAAUAUGAACCAUCUGAAGAAGGUCUGACGUAUGUGCUCUACAUCCUUUCACAUGGCUCCAAAUAAUGUGUUCGGGCUGGCUAGCAAUGACUGAAACAAUUUAAAACAUCCAAGAAAAUGGAGCAAAUUAAAAAAUACGGCAUUCCUAACUGUAACAUAACCAUAAAAAUUAGGAAGGAGUGGAUUCCCCACAUCAACUCAUUAAAAACAAUUAGAAAAAUAAGUGUAAUGUAAAGCAAAACAGAAAUGAUUUUUAAAUCAUUUGCUUAGACAUAAUAUAAACCAGGCAUGAAGGAGUCUCUAGCCAUGCUCCCAAUUUGGCUUGCGAGGCCAUUUCCCACAAAUCACACCCACCUCCCCCAUGCCCAAUGUGUACCCUCCCAACAUUUCUCUGGUGAAAAUAGGGGUGGCCUAAUCCAUAAUAAAAGGGUGGCACUGUGGUCUAAACCACUGCACCUAGUACUUGCCGAUCGGAAGGUCGGCGGUUUGAAUCCCUGCUACGGAGUGAGCUCCCGUUGCUCUGUCACAUUGGCCCUAGCUAUUCAUUUAGUGCCUGUGCUUUUUGUAAUCUUCAUUAUUUAACCUACACUCUCUUUCUGUUCUGCCAUUCUGUUAUUCUGUGGUCCCCUCCUGGUGUCUUCCAUCAAAAAUAAGAGUUUCAGAAAGGUUCAUAGUGGCAUUUGUACCUUGUCUCCGAUGUGCUCUGCCCCACUUUCUUUCUAAGUGGGAUCCUGUAGCAUCUUGACUCCUAAUGCCUUGCUCUGCGCAUGAUUGUUUCCAGCAAUGGCUAGUGCAGCAUGACAAAGGAAGAGAACAGUGCUCUACAAGUCUACACAAGAUACCCUCAUAUACAAGACAUAGGCUUAUCAGCUUGACACGUGACAACUCAAAAUGUGUAUAUGCUAUAAUGCCUUGCUCUGUACCUGAUUCUGUUAGCACACAGCCAAGACAAGCAUCAUUCUCUGGCCAGUCAAUACCCUGCUAAGAACAAAGCACAGUCCCGAAAGGCACAAUCUCUCUCCCCAUAAGGGAAUCAACAGCAGCAGCAGCAUAUGUUGUUGUUGUUUCUGUGCAACCGUUCUUCAAACUGGAGCCCAGGGCUUUUGCAGUUCAUCAAAGCUAUCCAGCAAUAUCAAGUUAUAGGGAAACUGGUGCUAUUAACAGUAAUCCUUCUAGUUGGUUAAUUGGUUCGGCAACUUCCAUGCACAUGUCGCGUGAUGCUAAUUAUUUCCCCCAAGAGUUAAAUGAUGACUAAUCGGAGGCAGCUACAGUUGCAAAUGGCAACAAAAUAUCUGUGAAAGAAAGAGGAACAGGUUUGCUCAAGUGUGUUGCAGGUAGAAAUACUGUUUGUAAUGAAGUGAGAGCAGUAGUUUACUUGCUUGAAUUAGCAAAUAAGAAAGUUUUGAGAAUUUAAAUUCUGGAUUAAAAUUGAUUACUUCAUUGAGAGGGGGAUUGUAACAAAAACACCGGGGCCUAAUUUGAAUAGUAGAGUGCCUGGUAUCUGGUGGGCAAUCUCAUCCUUUAUUUCCACACUGUGGCUGUAGACCAAAUCACAGGAGAGUUAUGAGAUUCAGGUGAGGGUCAGAUGCCUUGUCAAUCCCAGCAGGUAUAUAAAACGACUGCCCUAGCCAGACCUUCGCCCUAGCCGGGGUUUUUUUAAGAAAAACAUUACAACUUCAUUUUCCUAACAAAUAAUGCUUAUUCCACAAAAGGUUUACAAAGUUCAGUUAUUUUUUAAAAAAUUCAGUGUUAAUUUUAUGCAUUUUUUAAAAUCACCAUGGUAUUUAACAAUAAUAUCUUAUGUCCUUUAGAGGAGAAAUAGUGAAUUUUAGAAUUUUAAAUACCCGUCAUCAUCCCUGGCUUCACUCAAUUUUGUUUAUAACACUCUUCCUUUUCCUUCUAGUUGUGAGGGUGGGGGAUGGGGAGGGGCCUCAGAAGUAGAGUAGCCAAGGGCCUCUCUUCAUCUAAAUCUGGCCCUGGCUGCGGAAGCCCCGUCGGACGUUCGAAAACCGGAACACUCACUUCCAGGUUUCGAUCGUUUGGGAGCCAAGGCAUUCGAGAUCCAAGGUACGACUGUACAGUGGUACCUCAGGUUACAGAUGCUUCAGGUUACAUACUCCGCUAACCCAGAAAUAUUACCUCGGGUUAAGAACUUUGCUUCAGGAUGAGAACAGAAAUCGCGCGGCAGCAGCAGGAGCUAAAGUGGUACCCAUUAGCUAAAGUGGUACCUCAGGUUAAGAACAGUUUCAAGUUAAGAACGGACCUCCAGAACAAAUUAAGUUCUUAACCCAAGGUACCACUGUACUAUUCUUUGGUUCAAGGUAACCCCCUCCUCUUAAGAAACAGAACCUUUAAAAUUCCUCUCCUCUAGUCAGCAAGGUUGCAAAUCACCCCUGUGUCUCAAAAACAAAUAUCAACCUCUACAUAUGAAUGGAGUAGAAAUUUGACCCAGUUUUCAUUUAAAUGUGAAUCUACCCAUUUUGCUUUUUCCAAAGCAAGACACAAACUGUAACAAACAUCUCUGAAUUUUGCAACGCCAAGUAAUGUGUGCAAAAAUUGCACAGUCCUGGGUAAUGUGUGAAUAAAAAUGCAUAUAUCAUUAAAAAUGGCAUGCAAAUCAAUUCCACUUUAUACUGUCAAAAGCAGAAGAGAGUGAGUUAGUUAUCUCUCUGCUGCUGUGAACAAGUGAUAGAUUAGAAAUUCAUUACAUGAUCAUCUCACAAUUAAUUAAGCUUCUAAUGUGAUGAAUUGCAAAUAACAGUUGCCCUUAUACAUUAAAAUCAUUUGAACAGAAGAAGCACACUUUGCCAUGAAAUACACCCAUGUUUUCAACCUCCUAACUCCUAACCCUUUGCUAAGAGUAAAUAAACAAGUAGCUUGCUCAUAAAGUACUUAAGAGAGAAAUAGAAGCUGUAUUUCUGUUAGCACUGCAGCUAAACAAUUAUUGGUCCAAUUAAUGUGACCGUAAAUCAUAUAUAUUGUCAUACAUCUAGGGUACUGGAGUCUGUUAGUGAAUGGUAGAAAUUAAUAAACAGGAGUAUUUAGAUAUUGUUUGGGAUAUGAAGGGAAAUGCAGGCUGCAGAAUUGUGCCAGACAGGAAAUUCCUGGGUUAGCGUAUAAAAACCAAGCUGGCCAGGCUAGCUAAGUGCAGAGCCGUUGAGAAACAAAGGGGAGUCAGGUGCUGGGCCAUUUAGGAUAGUGUUUCCCAAAGUGGAAGAUGUUGCCUCCUGGGGAGUACUGGAAUGAUCCAGGGAGGCGGUAGUAGCCUUGGAUGCAACUGGGGGACACUGAAUAAAAAUGGCGCUGUGGGUUAAACCACAGAGCCUAGGACUUGCCGAUCACAAGGUCAGCGGUUCGAAUCCCCGCGACGGGGUGAGCUCCCAUUGCUCAGUCCCUGCUCCUGCCAACCUAGCAGUUCGAAAGCACAUCAAAAGUGCAGGUAGAUAAAUAGGUACCGCUCCGGCGGGAAGGUAAACGGCGUUUCCGUGUGCUGCUCUGGUUCGCCAGAAGUGGCUUAGUCCUGCUGGCCACAUGACCCAGAAGCUGUAUGUCGGCUCCCUUGGCCAAUAAAGCGAGAUGAACACCGCAACCCCAGAGUCGGUCACGACUGGACCUAAUGGUCAGGGGUCCCUUUACCUUUACCUUUACAAGCAUAAAGAAAGAAGUGGUGUAGUGGUUCAGAGCGGUGGAUUCGUAAUCUGGUGAACCGGGUUCGCUUCCCCACUCCUCCACAUGCAACUGCUGGGUGACCUUGCGCUAGUCACACUUCUCUGAAGUCUCUCAGCAUCACUCAUCUCACAGAGUGUUUGUUGUGGGGGAGGAAGGGAAAGGAGAUUGUUAGCCGCUUUGAGACUCCUUCAGGUAGUGAUAAAGCGGGAUAUCAAAUCCAAACUCCUCCUCCUCCUCCUCUUCUUCUUCUUCUUCAUCAUCUGUUGUUUAAUUAUGUUUACUGACAGUGCUUUUUGUCCUAAAAAAAUGUUUAGGGGUACUUGCAUUUUGACUCAAGAAAACCACCAUUUUAUAGUUCAAAUCGGGAAAAAUAAAUACAGUGAAUGGAUAAAAGUAUGAAGAUUUACAAAAUGUUUAGGGGUAUGUAUCCCCCUUGAAAAAAGCACUGCUUACCAAUGAAAAAUAGAGUACCGAUGUAACAUAGGGAUGUGGGUGGCGCUGAGCCUCUUGGGCCUGCCAAUCAGAAGGUCAGUGGUUUGAAUCCCCACGACGGGGUGAGCUCCGGUUAUGUCCCAGCUCCUGCCAACCUAGCAGUAUGAAAGCAUGCCAGUGUGAGUAGAUAAAUAGGUACUGCUGCGGCAUGAAGGUAAAUGGCGUUUCUGUCAUGUUUAGCAGUAAAUUCAUGCUGGCCACAUGAGCCGGAAAGCUGUCUGUGGACAAAUGCUGGCUCCCUCGGCCUGAAAGCGAGAUGAGCACCACAACCACAUAGUGCCUUUGACUGGACUUAACCGUCCAGGGGUCCUUUACCUUUUUUACCUAGAGUUAAAGUCAUAGUGAUUAUUUUCCAAAUAAACACACAAAAUGCAAGUUAUAACCAACUAGUGGUCAACUCAGCAGACACAAAUUUGUCACUGCAUUUUUCUGUUCGUUCACUUAAAGAAGGCAGAUUUCCAGGGGGGGGGGGCACUGAGUAAUUCUUCUGAAAAGUACAAAUCUUCUGGACAAUACUCUCCUGGAAUGACGUAUGAUUCCAGGUGGCUCAAGGCUUUGUUUGGAGUGCACAUUCACAGUUCACUAAUAUAUAAUAAGGUUGUUACAAUGGGCCAUUACACUUGACAGCACACAAAGUAUUGGGCCACAUGCAAUGCUAAGCCAUCUCAUAGAUGACAUUCUCGCGAAGGUGUAGGUGUAUCAUUUGGGGGGCACAUAAAGCAUACUGUGGGGUGUAUACACAGGGCCGGAUUGAGGUUUGAUGAGGCCCUAAGCUACUGAACGUAAUGGGGCCCUUUAUAUGUCCAGCUGUCCUUUGUCAACAACAAAUUGUUGAUGUUUUUUGUGUUGAAUAUAUGCUAUAUGGUAAUUUAUGGACCUAAUAGGUAUCUAAAGCCAUUUGCACAUGUGGCCACGCAACCAGUCCAUGCAGAAUGUAGGCACCCUAUAUACAGAAAGGAGCAAACCAGCGAUAUUUUAGGGAGCUGGAUAGCAGGCGGGGCCCAUUUUACUUACAUCAUAGGAGCCAAAACAACACAAAACGCUAUUACUGUAUGUAGGUUUUAUUUUAUUUGUUUUUUAUAUUAUAUUUUGGAUAUGUACAUCCAGGUUUUUUCCUUUAAAUUUUUUGGGGGCCCCCAAGAGAAUGAGGCUCCAAGACUUUGGCCACAUGAUGAGAAGAGAAGACUCCCUGGAAAAGACCCUGAUGUUGGGAAAGAUGGAGGGCACAAGGAGAAGGGGGCGACAGAGGACGAGAUGGUGGGACAGUGUUCUCAAAGCUACCAGCAUGAGUUUGACUAAACUGCGGGAGGCAGUGGAAGGCAGGAGGGCCUGGCAUGCUCUGGUCCAGGGGGUCACGAAGAGUCAGACACGACUAAACAACUAAACAACAACAAAUACAUCUCUAGUUCAUUAUUCAUUUUAGUAAAUAUUUUUGGGGGGGGUGAGUUUUUGGCAUGCACUGUCAUGAUUGGCAGUGGGCUGCACAGUCACCUCAUCUUGGGUUGGAGCAGGGCCCCUCCCAUUCCGAGAGCUUGGGAAGAGGCCUGAGCGACCAGACGACAGCUUGAAAUGAAGUGAUUGAAAUGAAUCAGUAGCUUUAUGGACAAAGCAAUGCUUCAUUCAGAGAGCAGUACUAUUUCCAUAUAGAAAAUAUUACGAACUUUGAAGAAUGAAAUGGCAACAUAAAGUAGAAUGCGCUACAGCAAUAUAAUACAGAUGGAGGAUGGGAUAAGAAUAGCAUGGUAAAGGAAUGACAAAGGAAUGAAUCAAAGUAAUUUUAAUAAGAAUCCUAGCCUUGCAAUUUCCCUCCCUAACUAGAGAACUAGCCUCUUUCAAAAUGGAUUUCUAAGUUUCCUAGCAUUUUGGAACAAAAACACACAGCCAGAGCCAUGGUGCUAGGAUCCUGCUAUCGCCAGCUGUGUGAGAAGGAGAAUGAGGCCAUGUGCGCAUGUAUGUGUCUGUAUAUGUGUGAGAUGUUGAACAUCGUCUUAUUUUGGUCAGGAAUUGGACCAGAUUCCCCCCCCCCAAUAUUUUCUAUGAAUUUCAUCACCUACAUAGGUAGGGAACCACAUUGUAGGUUACGGGUACCUGCAAUCUAAGCGGGAGAAAGUGAGGCUGGAAACUUUGCUUUUUAGCAGGACUUUACUCAGGUUGCUUUAGCAUAUUCAGGUAUAGUAUUUAAAAAUUCCAGUACAGUCGUACCUUGGAAGUCAAACGCCUUGAGAGAUGGAACAUUUUGGCUCCUGAACGCCACAAACCCAGAUUUGAUUCUUCCGGUUUGCGAACGUUCUUUGGAACCCAAGCACCUGUCGCAUUUUCCAGUUAGCUACAGGAGCUUCCUGCAGCCAAUCGGAAGCCGUACCUUGGUUACUGAAUGUUUUGGAAGUCAAACGGAAUUCUGGAACGGAUUCUGUUCAACUUCCAAGGUACGACUGUAAUGUUAUUAUUUCACAUCUGCUGUGGUGUUCUGUUCCUCCCAGCACAGUGUUGUGAUGGAGAGAGAAAUCACUAUCUCUUCUCUUUAGAGACCAGUCUCUAUUAGAGAGCAAAGACAGUUAUUGUCCUUCCAAUUGCAGCACAGGAACAGGAACCAGCCAUGUACCCCAUGCAGCGAGCUAAUGUGGAGUGCAGUCUCCUCCCAUCUCUUCAGUGGAUCUUGAACCCUUUCCCCAAGGAUACUCAGGUAUUUUCCAUGCAUAUCUCCAGCCAAGAAGCUAGUCAGAUUCUGCAUUGCAGAUGCCUUUGUUCUAUGAAUUUACAAGGGAUAUUUGUUUACGUGUAUGGAGGGAUUCCACGAGACUCCCCAUUGCUAAGUUCUUCUCACAACGGCUCGCAUAGUGGUAGGGUUGCCAGACCUCCAGGUUUGCUUGCCCUGCUCCGGGUGGUAUGUGGAGGGCUUGAAUCUUCAUUGGGUGAGAAUGCCUUUAAUUAAAACAGGGGGGUAUUAAGAAGGCUGUGUGUCCAGCUUGCAAGCUUCAGCCUGGCAGAAGCUGGCUGUAAAUUAUAGCAUAGAUACUUGCCCUGCUGUGCUCCCCUCUCCCAAGAAAUGUCCAUCUCCAGGGCCUGUCACAUGACUUCACCGGGGGCUUCACUGCCCUCAUAGUGGGCCACCCCUAGGUCUCAGCUUUGGGCUCUGAAAUAUCAGGGUCUGGGAUGCCCCUGAUCUAGCAAUCCUACAUAGUGGUGUUUUUCUGCCUGGCAGAUCCUGAGAUAGAGAGACACCCAAGGGGAGGGCUCUCCUGGUUGCCAUGUGUGGACUAGCUCCUUCCAUGCCUACCUAUGGUGCGGUCAUCUUCCACACACUGCCCUACAAUUUGCUGGGAGUUGGUGUUGAGGAUGUGGCUGUUAUGAUUUAGACGUCUUUUAAUAUGUAAACUUUUCACUAUAUAUGAAGACCUGCCUAUAUCACAACAUUUUUAGUUCUCCUAUUAUGUGUUAUAUUAGGCCUCCAGAUGCAUGCUAUUAAGCCUUUUAUAAGGUUUCUAUUUGCACAUCUAAGUGAUGCGAGUGAGGAGGGAUGGAUGCUCAGAGCACACCGGUGCCUCAAAACAGGGAAGGUUAUCUUCAUUCGGCUUGCUAUCUCACAACCGCUGGCGUUUCUGAUGCAGCAACGGCUGUGAAUGUUGCAAAAACCAGAAUGGCCGCCUAAUCUCCCCAGAACUACAUGAAACAGGGCCCAGCCAAGCCUCCAUCACAGUCACCCAAUAUUGGCCCAUGAUCAAACACUGUGAGCAUGCUAUUGCAACAAAGGGAUUGUGAAGAGGGAUGCUUGAGCAAUUGAUUCCCUGAGAGUUGGGAGAAAGAGUUUAAGAGCUGAGGCAGAAUACAGCACCUUUGGACAAGAGCUCAGUAUCUACCUGGAGCAGCCCGGCUCCUACCUCUUUCUCCCCACACUCCUCCUUCUGGUUAGCCAGAAGAACAAUCCUCAGUAACCGUAAUCAUAUAAUUGUAGAGUUGGAAGGGACCACACCAGUCAUCUAGUCCAGACCCUCCAAGUCUCCCUAUUUUCCAGGGACGUCCCUGAUUUAGAGAAGCCUCCCCUAUUUCUGAUUUGAUCCCAGAAUGUCCUGCUUUUCAUUAGGGCGUCCCUCCUUUCAUUGCAGAAAUGUUGGAGGUUAUGGUAAAGGGAAAGGUAAAGGGACCCCUGACAGUUAAGUCCAGUCGCAAACGACGCUGGGGCUGCGGCGCUCAUCUCGCUUUACAGGCCGAGGGAGCCGGGGUUUGUCCACUUCUGCAGACAGUUUUUCCGGGUCAUGUGGCCAGCAUGACUAAGCUGCUUCUAGUGAACCAGAGCAGUGCACAGAAACGCCGUUUACCUUCCCGCCGGAGUGGUACCUAUUUCUCUACUUUCACUGCGUGCUUUCAAACUGUUAGGUUGGCAGGAGCUGGGACCAAACAACAGAAGCUCACCCCAUUGUGGGGCCUUGAACUGCCGACCUUCCGAUUGGCAAGUCCAAGUGGCACAGUGGUUUAAACCACAGCACCACCCGUGUCUCUGGAGGGUAUGGUAGGAUGUCCCUAUUUUCACUGGAGGGUAUGGAGUUAUCCGACCCCCAGGCCAUCUGAAGACAAUCCUGUAUAGGGAAGGUGUUGCUGUUUUUAAUGUUUUAUUAUGUUUUUAUGUGUGUUGGAAGCUGCCCAGAGAGGCUGGGGCAACCUAGUAAGCUGUGUGGGGUAUAAAUAGUAAAAUUAUCAAUAUGGGACGUCCCUAUUUUCAUCGGACAAAUGUUGGAAGGUCAGGCUAGUCCAUGACUCUGCAAUGCAGGAAUAUGCAGCUGUCCCAUACGGGGAUCAAACCUGCAACCUUGGCAUUAGCAGCGCCAUGCUCUAACCGAUUGAGCUACCCAGGCUAGUCAGAAUCAUAGAACCAUAGACUCACAGUAUUGUAACGCUGACCUGACUCCCUCAAGUUGUUUAGGACCACAACAUCCCUGGUCAUUGGCAAUACUGGAUAGGGCUGAUGGGGGUUAUACUAUAGGGCACCACAUUGGGGAACCCUGUUCUAUAGCAUCAGAAAAAGUUGCUUGUUUGCCAUGUGCAGAGCCAAAGGCCUAGUGAGAUUCCACAUCAUUUUCUGCAGCUUUCUUUUGCAUUCCCCAUAACUCCAUCAAGAAAACAUUUAACAAGUUAAUGUUCAAAAGCCACACUUAAUAUCACUGUCCUUUAACAUAUACAGGGUCACUAGGCAGUGUAAAGGUAUAUUAGAAAGUUAUGGAACUUGAUUUGAAAACAGAUGAGGAGUGGAGGAAGUUAAUGUAAGUAAAAUCAUAAAAUGAAUUUCAUGUAUCAUUAAUUCUGAUAACUGAUUUUAUUGCUUUGGAAAAUUAUGAUGGCAUUCUGCUACAAAUACUUAACCUAAUUUAAAUUUCAGAAUACUUUAUUUCUAGCAAAUCACUGUAAGCAAUAUUUUUAAUCAGUAGAGUGGAGCUAAUUUAUGUUUCAGAUGGUUAAGGAGAGAGGCUUGCUAAGGCAAGGUUGUUGGGGGGAUUUUACUACUGCAUUUUAAAAAAAAUUGUUGGUGGUGGAGAAACUAAUGAAUGCCCAUAAUUUCAUUAUAAUUUCCAUAUAAAAUAUAAACAACAACCAGCAUCAUUGUUGACGUUGCUGGUAGUCACCAAGACACUAAUUCAGGGUUGGCUAACCUCUGACCUUCCAGAUGUUUUUCAAGAAUUCUACUCGCCCCUAAACAUUGGCCAUGCUGGCUGAAUCUGCCAGGAGUUCGAAUUUGACAGCACAUGGGGAUCCACAGGCUAGCCACCCCUGCGCUAACUGAUGCUGUUGUCAGUCCCCAAGAUUUCAACCCUGCCCAUUUUCACUGGCAUGUUAAGCCCGCCUUGCUUGAAGCGUUAAUAGGCAUGAGCCACAAAAAGAGAUGACUUCACAAUAAACUGUUUGGCAGGAGCUCAUUCUCUCUGACCCGUCUUUCGUUUCAGCUGGCUCUUUUGUACUAAAUGCAUUUGGAAAGGAUAAUGCAAAAGUCUUCCUUUUAUAGGCACCAGAGAUUAACUCACUCAUUCGGUUUACUUCUAGGCAGAGCGGUAAGAGACAUUGAGAAAUACUUGGCAUGUGAACCGAAGUAGUCAAAACACGUGGCGAUGGCCAGUAAGGAAGACCAAAAUGCUCAGGUAGGGCAGAGCACAAUUACACCUCACCGCAACAAACUGCCAACUUUUGCAGCACGCAGCCUCACUCCGUAUCAAUCAUCAUGACACCCAUGCUGUUUACAAGGUUAUAAGAUUUCAUACCAACUCCGGGUGGAACGUAAUAAUCGGGUGGCGCUGCCUCUGCAUGCUGCGGUUAAAAUUAUUUUGCCAGUGUGGCAUAGUGAGACAUGUGCAGUUGAAGGGCAGAGACAAAGAGCCCUAUAAUGCUGUCUUUGGCCACUUUGAGGAAGCACAGGUACAAAAGGAACAUCCAGCUCACUGACAAGGACAAGGUGGGCAGUGCAAGAAAUCAGGCUGGCCUUUAGACAGUCACAAUUCACAUGCUCCAUGUUCAGAACACUGUCAUAUCCCACGCUCUGCUUUUUAUACCUGUCCUGCCACCAGAAGUAAGUAAUAGUCCCUGAGUGUUUGGAACUGUGUCUGUCAGUUGGCUGGAUUUCCCGACACGCUGUGAGGAAAAAUCGCUUCCCGCCUCCUGUACUGUGAGCUGCUGUAUGUUGUGAAAGGAGCAGAGGGGAGCGAUAAUCCCCCAAGUCCUUCGUCCCCAUCUCACUGAGGCUCAGGGGUAGUAACUCAGUACCCAGGGAGGGGUUAACCCUUUGAAAUUAUCUUAAAAAUUAGAACUGAUCCACCAGAGGAGCAACUUUUAUUAUAAGCUGUACUGUACUAUAAAAUAUCCAUUUUAAUAUGGCCAGUCAGUUUUAGUUUUUUUGCAGUGGUGAUUUUGUUUUUGUUUUUUAAAUAAUAAUCCAAACAUAAAUGCUGGCUAGCAGAAACUGUGAUUCCUGUUUUCCAGGGCUUGUAGUCCCCUCAUGGUGUCAAAUAAUACAUCAGGUAUCUUAUUGUGUCUCUAUCUAAACACUCAAGGCCCCUCCAAGAGGGUUUUUAUUCUGGAGGAGAUUGCUUGAGAUGCGUGAGUUGUUGUUUUUAAAAGAGUGGAAGCCUGCAUGCAUUUUUCUGUUACUGUCAUCCACUAGUUAUGUGUGUCGUUGUUGUCCAUCUCCCCCCCCCCCAUUUUGCACAUUAAGGAAAGGAAUCGGGUAGCAAGGGCCAUCAUAACCUUGAUGUGGAUGGGGAUGAUUUACAUUUAUAUACCACCUUUAUCUUCCAAGGAUCUCAAGGUGGUGUACAUGGUUCUCGUGCUCCCCAUUUAGUCCUCCCAACAACCCUGUGAGGUAGGUUAAGCUAAAAGAUGGUGACUGGCCCAAGGAUACCCUGUGAGCUUCUUGGCUGUGUGGGGAUGUGAACCCAGAUCUGACUUUUAUGGUAGGCGAGCUAACGGUCAGUGGUCCCUUUACCUUAACAUUUCAGCCAUACACACGUCAGUGGUCCCUACACAUGCAAAACCUUCUUCAUCCUCCUGCCAGGAAAGCAAGAAGCAUUACUGAAGUUCAAGGACAUAUUCCAGCCUGAUACAGCACUCAAGGGAGGUGCAGAGCCACGCCUCUAGUAGGUGUGGCUUAAGGAGAGGAGGUGUGGCCUGUGGAGAGUGGGUGUGGCCUAGAGAGUGUUCCAAAGACUCGAUAAGGAAGCCCGGAUUGCUUCUGGGCUUGAGGCCCUCUACAUCUGCUACAAAUAGUGUGUAUACUGUAUGUACAUUUUUACAUAUCUGACUUGGCAUCUGGCACUUAGCUACAUCCAUAAAGAACAAAAUGUUUUAUAUGCGUUAUAACACUGGGAUACCAGAUGGCACCGUGAAGUCCUGUCAUUUGCCAACGUAAUUUCCCACUUUGAGGUUUACAAUGUGUUUUCCUGAAAUGCUUUUUUGAUGUGUCUAGAUCCAGCCUUGGUGUGUAACUUGUCUCAAUACAUCGCUACUUGGCUCUAUCUGUUUGAAUGCACUUUCCAUUUUCUAACUGCAGCACAUUUGUGACUUGGUUAUAUCACCCACUGACUAAACACCAGGAAAAAAAAUAUUUCUGGCAAUAAAAGCUGUUUCACACUGGAAUAGACUCCCUCAAGAGGUUGUGGACUCUCCUUCCCUGGAUGGUCAUCUGUCAUGGAUGCUUUAGUUGAGAUUCCUGGAUUGCAGGGGGUUGGACUAGAUGACCUUUGGGUGUCCCUUCCAACUCUACAAUUCUAUGAUUCUACAUUCUCCUUCAGGCCAUAGUAUUAGACUGCUAGGCUACAUCCUAGCUCCACCCGUUCAUACAAAAAAGGACCCCUACUUCCAUCUGGGUGUGCUCAAGCUUGUGAGGGAUGGAUGUGCUCAAUGAGUGUAGGAAUAAUGGAGACGACAGGAGGUUGGAUGCAGGUGAGCUGUGCAGAAGCACUCUGGCAAGCAUGCUCCAAGCAAGCUGCCGGCUAGCUCUGCCGAAGCUCCUUUUAUUAGCAGAAGUCAACAAUUGGAAACAGUAGUGAAACCACCCUGAACUUAACGUAUUUCCAUCUAAGCACAUUUCCAGCAUUAGCAAAUACACGUGUCGGCAGGUGUUUCCCUAAAAUGUCCCCUCCAAUACCUGAUUACGUCUGCAUCCGCUGUCAUUUUCCAGCCAAGUGUUAUGUCUAAAAAAACAAAUUGCGAGAGGACAAAAGGUCAGGGGGGAAACCCUGUUUUCCAGCCAAGAAGGUCAGGAAAGCAGGCAUAAUGUUCCUGGACAUACUGUUGCAUGUCUGGUACGAGGUUUGCCUUCGCAAAGCGGAGCAUUACCUCCACAAAUGAGAAAUGGCAACUGAAAUGGGAAUGGGAGCAGAUAACUGGAAGCAGAGACAUCACCUUGCCAACAAAGGUCUGUAUAGUUAAAGCUCUGGUUUUCCCAGUAGUGAUGUAUGGAAGUGAGAGCCGGACCAUAAAGAAGGCUGAUCGCCCAAGAAUGGAUGCUUUUGAAUUCUGGUGCUGGAGGAGACUCUUGAGAGUCCCAUGGAUGCAAGAAGAUCAAACCUCUCCGUUCUGAAGGAAAUCAGCCCUGAGUGCUCACUGGAAGGACAGAUCCUGAAGCUGAGGCUGCAACACUUUGGGCACCUCAUGAGAAGAGAAGACUCCCUGGAAAAGACCCUGAUGUUGGGAAAGAUGGAGGGCACAAGGAGAAGGGGACGACAGAGGACGAGAUGGUGGGACAGUGUUCUCGAAGCUGCGAACAUGAGUUUGACCAAACUGCGGGAGGCAGUGGAAGACAGGAGGGCCUGGCAUGCUCUGGUCCAGGGGGUCACAAAGAGUUGGACACAACUAAAUGACUGAACAACAACAACAACAACUAGAAGCAUUACCUUUCCUGAAUUAUUUCACAUUGUAGGGGCUGUCAAGCUGUGAUUGUUGAUAUCCAGCCACAUGUUUGGCUUUGGGGGGCAAUAACUAUACUACAGGGCCCAUUAUCAAUUUCCUUUUUACUAAGUCCUCUGAGGGUUACAAGGCAAGUUUAGGAAUCUCUAGCAUAGUGCCUGUAUUUUAAUGUUUUCUUUGCAGCGCUGUGGAAUCUUGUACUGGGCAUGAAGCUCACCAGGUCAUAAAAGAAUCCUGCUGCUACCAUAAUAGCAUUUCCCCCCUUACUUUUGACACCUUCUAUUUUGGGUUGUUUGUGAACUUUUUAUUUGGACACUCAGUCUGACCAUUAUGUUUCCCUCUCCUUAUGGUUUUGACUUUUAAAAUGAGGCUGCAUUUUAAAUUGCAUUUUAACCUGUAUUUUAAAUUGUUUAUUUCUUUUUCUUUUUUCUUAUUAUGUUUUUACUGAAAUUUUAUUGGUGUUAGCCGCCCUGAGCCCAGCUCUGCCCGGGGAUGGCGGGGUAUAAAUAAAAUUUAUUAUUAUUAUUAUUAUUUUGGGAGCUUAGGGAACACUUGCAGUAGGAAACUAUUUCAGCCCAUGUCAUGUUUGAUAAGGGAGAAAACGGGCUGAUUUCUGGUUCUGUUAGAUUAAAUUGACUUUUGAGUUAUGGUCUGAUGGCAAAUAAGUCCGCCAUCUUCUUUUGGCGUGUUUGCAUGUGGUCAGUCUCUGGAUGAGUGGGUGGCUGUCUGCAAACUUUAUGUACAACAGAUUGAGUUUGAUGAUGGGUACAAGCUGGGCUACGCAUGUGAGAAAAUUAAAAAUAAACGCAGUUAGUUUUCAGGCACAGUCAGAUUUGAAUUAAUUAGGGCCAAAUCGCUGAUUUGGGUAUAUUUGGUCUAACACUGCAGAGUGUAGGAUUUAGAGAGACACAAAGGAUUCCAAAUAUGUCAACACAGCCUAAAAGAACAGGGAUUUGGAGCAAGUCUUAGCAUUGAUUAGAUAUAUUUAAUCCUCUGACACUGAGUGCCACAUCCAUACAGAGCGGAUCACACGUACCUGCCUGAUUAGGAGUCUAACUUUUAAUGAGGGAUCUGCAGCAAAACCUGCUAGAUUUCAGGGACUGCAGGACUCUGCGGAUUGGGUGGUCAAGGUAGUGGGGACAGAGGGGAUGGGGUGGGUAGUGAUUUAUGGAGUUUUGUGCCUACCGUGAGACAGAAGCCAGAGCUGGAGGAUGGAGAGGGGUCUGAACAGUUGGAGACAGGGUAGGAGACGCAGGAAGUGGGGCUGGAGCUGGAGCUGAAGGACAAUGUGCCAGGAACUAAGGAAGAGAUGGAGCCUGAAGGGAGAGGACUGGUGGAACCCCCUUCUUCCCCUCCCUCACUGUCUCCCAGGACCAGGAGGGUCUUGAAGAGGCAAGCACAGUGACAACGUCCAUGCAGAAGUCACAGCUUACUUGCACUCGCGCCGUCAGUCAAGGGUGCUUAAGUUUGCCUGUUGGUGAGGUGCGGAACUACCAAAAGAAAAUAUAAGAGUGUUUAUGUGUUCAACGACAGCAGCAAGGAAGCUUCUUGCCCAGAGAUGGGAAGAAGAAGAAGUACUGACUAGAGAAGAGUGGCAGACCAAGCUGAUGGAAUACAGUCAUAUCUCGGGUUGAAUGUGCUUCAGGUUGAGCACAUUCGGGUUGCGCUCUGCGGCAACCCGGAAGUAACGGAGUGCGUAACUUUCGGGUUUCGCUGCUCGCACUUGCGCAGACGCAGACGCUGAAAAUGACGUCACACGCAUGCACGGAAGCAGCAAAAUGCGACCCGCGCACACGCAUCCCAAGGUACCACUGUAUGCAGAAAUGGCUAGACUGAUGGGAAAGAUCAGAAAUCACAAAAGACUGGAAUAAUUUUCUAACAUAUUUGAGAGACCACGGUAAACAGUUAAAAUCAUUGGCAGGAUUACAAUGACACUUGUAAAGUAACAUGGGUUUUGGAACUAUCAUUAUAUAAUACAGUGGUACCUCGGGUUACAUACGCUUCAGGUUACACACUCUGCUAACCCAGAAAUAGUGCUUCAGGUUAAGAACUUUGCUUUAGGAUGAGAACAGAAAUCAUGCUCCAGCGGCAGCAGGAGGCCCCAUUAGCUAAAGUGGUGCUUCAGGUUAAGAACAGUUUCAGGUUAAGAACGGACCUCCGGAACGAAUUAAGUACUUAACCCAAGUACUUAAUCUGUAGAAUCUGUAGAAAGAUUACAGUAAAAGAUGCGGGGAGGGGGGGUUAGAAUUGGAACCCAUGGAGGGAGGGAAGGAGGUCUCAAGGUUUGAAAGAACCACUUUUUAAAGGUUUGAAAAUGUUAUGUUUAUGGUGUACAACUUUUAUGUAAAACUAAUAUUUUUAGUUUUGGACUUGCACCUACCAUGGAUCCACAGAAGCUGUCCAAUCAAAGUUCUUAAGGCAAUUUUUUUCUGUAUCACCCUGUGUCCCAAAUGCAUCAUUGCACCUGGAGACCAAUCUCCCCUCUGUAGAAAUAUUCAACUUCUGGCUCUGCCUAAACUCAAAUCCCCCUGGUCUAAUAUCCCUAGUGCAACAAGACUGUCACAAGAGUGCCUGGUCCAAAAUUGUCAAUCAAAAACUUCACUCUUGUGAUUUAUCCGCACAACAGCUACUCACUGUGGGUUAUAGCAAAGCAAACAGUCUAAUUUGCCAAUGCCUAAAUGAUAUCGAGCGUCAGAACAACAUGGCCACAAUAAGGAAAUUUUGCCCAUGGUAUGACCAUUUUCCAUCCUUCCACUUUGACUCUCUGGCACCCUAUCUGUAUAAUCUAGCAGUUCCAAAAUAUAGGUGUGCCUUCACCCUUGCAAGACUGAAUGUACUGCCCUCGGCUGUACUUGAGGGACAAUUCCAACAGAUUCCAUACGAAAAACGCUUAUGUCCCUGCGGAGAUGGCAGCACUGAAUCAGUGGCACAUGCCCUCCUCACGCACACUCUUUACAAAUACCUGAGGAACGAGAUUAUCACGCCUCUUUUAUUGACCGUCCCAGGUCGCCCAACCACUGCCACAGUCUUGUUUCUCCCGGGAGAUCAAGAGAAGCAGAUGACUGCAAAGGUUGCAAGGUUUCUAGCUGGGGCAAUCAGAAUAAGGUCCACUAUUUGACUGCUGAUUCAGGACCCUAAACUGUGUUUUAUAUAAACGACUUUUUAUUUUGUUCUGUGUAUAUCGCAAUGUUUUUUGUUGCUAUCAGAGAGAUACGCCAGCUGCCAAGCCACCAGAAGCAUGCGUCUGCGUGUUUAGCGCUUCUUGGAAGCUUCUGUAAAUUUGUGCUUUGUCAACAAAGAAUUAAACUACCAGCCAUUUGUCCUCCUUAGGCUGGGUGUGCUGAGGACAGUAGAUUUUGUCCAGGGUACAUGGGGAUUAAGGGGGUUGCUUUGUACUCAAUAUCUGUAGACAAGUGCAAAAUGUAGUGUGAGAAGAAUCUGCUCUGGAUUUCACCCCUAGAGGGUUAUUGUCAGGAUAAAUGAGCUAAGAAUUGCCAAGCGCUUGGCAAAUUGACAGAGUUACACUGAUAAUGCUAAUGCUUUUGACUUAUGUAUUAUUACUCAUUCUUCACUUCCCUGAGUGGUGAGAACUUCAGGGACAGCUCUACUGGGGGUUUUUUUCUCUUGGAUGAGAGAGAACGCUGGAUUUCUGCGGUGCAUUUGAAAUACGUGUUUAUUUACAAGUAUACCAGCGGAGCACAUUUGAAUUAUGCAAAUAGACGACUCCAAAAGCGAACAACAAAAUCCCUAAUAUAUUCCAUCAAAUCCCCAAAGAGAAACUGUUGCAUCUCUGUUUCAUCCAAUUCCGGCAAAAACUAUUAUCUCCCUGUCUUGCACUUUUCCUGUGUAUGCCUAAAUUCACAGCACAAGCUGCUUCUUUAUGUCUGUGUAUCUCUUUCCCAAAUGCUAAUGGAGGUGACGUCCCAAAGGAUGGAGUGAUAUUCCAGAACAUUAAGGACUAAACAUAUUUUCUUAAGAUGCUUUUUACCCAUUAUUUUUUAGGUAGGCAAAACCUGAUUCAGAGUUUCAUAACAAGCAGAAGAGCAAAAUUCAUAACAAUGUUUAUUGCUAUUAAUGAUAAUAAAAGCUUUGGUCCAUAUGUUUAAGGAACUGCCUUGUGUUUGCCAAGCCAAAGGUUAUACUGGGCAUUGUCACACCAUUUUUCAGCCUCUUUGGCACAAGGGUUUUUUUGCAGCUGCGAUGCUUGUCUGAGCAAUUCAUGGCAUCUUGUUAGGUCAAAGUCAAGAGGUGUGAAGCAUGAAUUGUCUUCUUCAACUAACAAGGUUCUACUGUCUCUCCGUUAUGACUAGUGAGCCGUGAUUCAGCUCACCUACUACUUGCUUAAUGGUUGUGUCCACAAAGUUCUGCAAAUGUCUGUGGGGUCAUAGUAAAAGUGGUUUGUGCAUCAUUGUCGCUAUGUGGAAGAGCCAAUUAAAGCUGUGUAUAAUUUUUAAAAAGCUCUCCAAUCUCUUUCAUCUACAUGAAGGAUAUUGAAAAGCAUUUGAGGUAACAGCACCUUUCAUACUUUCCUAGGACACUGUGCAGUUGAACCUGAAUAUUAAUAGAAAAGAGGUUAAACAAAAUUUUGUUGCAUUCCACCGCAAUCUCAGAGUGGCAGGAGAUUCCAGGAGUUCCAGGCGUUUACCCUCGAGUUUUGCUUACCUUUGAAUGAAGGACAGCAGAGCCUGUGGCGUCUUUAUGAUAUAUGGUUUAUUUACACAUAUGUACAACCUGAGACCUUUGGGAAAGGAGUACGACAAGGCUGUAUAUUGUCUCCCUGCUUAUUUAACUUAUAUGCAGAAUUCAUCAUGCGAAAGGCUGGGCUGGAUGAAUCCCUAUCCGGAAUUAAGAUUGCUGGAAGAAAUAUCAACAACCUCAGAUAUGCAGAUGACACAACCUUGAUGGCAGAAAGUGAGGAGGAAUUAAAGAACCUUUUAAUGAGGGUGAACGAGGAGAGCACAAAAUAUGGUCUGAAGCUCAACAUCAAAAAAACAAAGAUCAUGGCCACUGGGCCCAUCACCUCCUGGCAAAUAGAAGGGGAAGAAAUGGAGGCAGUGAGAGAUUUUACUUUCUUGGGCUCCAUGAUCACUGCAGAUGGUGACAGCAGUCACGAAAUUAAAAGACGCCUGCUUCUUGGAAGAAAAGCAAUGACAAACCUAGACAGCAUCUUAAAAAGCAGAGACAUCACCUUGCCAACAAAGGUGCGUAUAGUUAAAGCCAUGGUUUUCCCAGUAGUAAUGUAUGGAAGUGAGAGCUGGACCAUAAAGAAGGCUGAUCGCCAAAGAAUUGAUGCUUUUGAAUUCUGGUGCUGGAGGAGACUCUUGAGAGUCCCAUGGACUGCAAGAAGAUCAGACCUCUCCAUUCAUAAGGAAAUCAGCCCUGAGUGCUCACUGGAAGGACAGAUCCUGAAGCUGAGGCUCCAAAACUUUGGCCAUCUCAUGAGAAGAGAAGAUGCUGGGAAAGAUGGAGGGCACAAGGAGAAGGGGACGACAGAGGACGAGAUGGUUGGAUAGUGUUCUCGAAGCAACCAGCAUGAGAUUGACUAAACUGCAAGAGGCAGUGGAAGACAGGAGUGCCUGGCAUGCUCUGGUCCAGGGGGUCACGAAGAAUCGGACACGACUAAAUGACUAAACAACCACAACCUGAGCCUACGAUGGAUGGGCUCACAGCAUUAACACCUCAAUGGGGCCUUGUUCUUCCCAUAGCCACAGCCUUAGAUUACAAGAGAAAUCGAGCAUAGCUCUGCUCCCAGCCUACAGCCUGCAAGCUUCUAGCUCAAAUAACUUGAUUAUCAACUCUAGUCUUUGUCUUAAUAAGGGAGGGGGGCCCACCCAUUUGCCGUGUGGCACAGAGCUACUUCCUGUGGUACCUUAGUAGCCCAUACUUAGGAAGCUAUUACCUCACCAAGAAACAAGCCUUGCUAGUGCAGGAAUGGUAUCCAUGCAGGAUCCAGGUAUUAGAAGGGAGAUCAAGCAUGCAGCCUACCCCCCAACUAAACUCGUAACAAUAUUUAAUUCUGUAUUUUUGGGUCAGAUGCUUUAUAAAAAUAAUUUUUUCCUUCCUUUUUAAUAAUUGCUCUUUUCUUGCUUUGAAGAGUUAUGGUGACCUGUGACAUAAGGGGCAUAUGCAGUCAUCCCUAUUCUUUGCAGUGAGUGGAGAUAAUGAGCCAAAGGUCCACUAAACAGUCAUCACAGGAAAUAAAACUUGAUUUCAGAGUAAGAGGGAUCUUCCUGACUGUUAAAAACCACUGUUGCAUUACUUCCGUUUUAUUCCUGGAGCAUUACAUGAAUGCAUGGAUUAACACAUCAUAGCCAGAAUGCUUCCAGGAUAUGGAAGGAUGCUAUAAGGCAACUAUUGGCAGUAACAACACAUGUAAUCAAUUUUCCUAUUGAGAUUGAUUACAGUUUAAAGAGCAAUGCCCUAUGAACCCCCAUCACUCCAAGAAAAUCUAUACAAACCAUUACUAUUGUAACAAAAUAUUCUGAAGCUAAGUAGCAUUAGGCACAUGGCUGGAGAGAGGCUUGGUGUCAACAGAAUAUGAGUUUGCCUUUGCCAUUCAUGGACAGUUACGCUGUUGCCAGAAAAAAUAAGCUGCAAAAGUAGAAAGAGAAGCAACCGGGUUGAACACAAAGACCUGAGAAUGGACAGAAAAGUAGAAAGAAAAACAGUGGCUGCCCUCAUCUGUCACAUCUAGUUUGCCCCCAGAGAACUAGACCACACUCUGCCUAAUGCAUGCCCUCCAACAUUUCUCUGAUGAAAAUGUUGUUUAGUCAUUUAGUUGUGUCCAACUCUUCAUGACCCCAUGGACCAGAGCACGCCAGGCACUCCUGUCUUCCAGUGCCUCCCGCAGUUUGGUCAAACUCAUGCUGGUAGCUUUGAGAACACUGUCCCACCAUCUCGUCCUCUGUCGUCCCCUUCUCCUUGUGCCCUCCAUCUUUCCCAACAUCAGGGUCUUUUCCAGGGAGUCUUCUCUUCUCAUGAGGUGGCCAAAGUCUUGGCGCCUCAGCGUCACGAUCUGUCCUUCCAGUGAGUACUCAGAGCUGAUUUCCUUCAGAAUGGAGAGGUUUGAUCUUCUUGCAGUCCAUGGGACUCUCAAGAGUCUCCUCCAGCACCAGAAUUCAAAAGCAUCAAUUCUUCGGUGAUCAGCCUUCUUUACGGUCCAGCUCUCACUUCCGUACAUCACUACUGGGAAAACCAUAGCUUGAACUAUACAGACCUUUGUUGGCAAGGUGAUGUCUCUGCUUUUUAAGAUGCUGUCUAGGUUUGCCAUCGCCUUUCUCCCAAGAAGCAGGCGUCUUUUAAUUUUGUGGCUGCUGUCACCAUCUGCAGUGAUCACGGAGCCCAAGAAAGUAAAAUCUCUCACUGCCUCCAUUUCUUCCCCUUCUAUUUGCCAGGAGGUGAUGGGACCAGUUGCCAUGAACUUUGUUUUUUUGAUGUUGAGCUUCAGACCAUAUUUUGCGCUCUCCUCUUUCACCCUCAUUAAAAGGUUCUCUGAUGAAAAUAGGGGUGUCCUAUUUAAUCAUCAUCAUCAUCAUCAUCAUACCCCCGCCCAUCUGACUGAGUUGCCCCAGCCACUCUGGGUUGCUUCCAACAUAUGUAAAAAUGUAACAAAACAUUAAAUAUUUUAAAAAACCUUCCCUAUAUAGGGCUGCCUUCAGAUGUCUCCUAAAGGUUAUAUAGUUACUUAUCUCCUUGGUUCAGGGGGGUCACAUAACUCCAUAUCCUCCUAUGAAAAUAGGGAUGUCCUAAGGAACAGCAGGACAUUCUGGGAUCAAAUCAGAAACCAGGAUGACUUCAGUAAAUCUGAGACAGUUUUUGGAAAAUAGGGACACUUGGAAGGUCUGCUAAUGCUUGCUGAAGCAGACAUUAUCUUCGCUAUUAAUUAGGGUUGCUGUACAUCCACAAUUUCCCCGACACAGCCCAUAUUCAGCCCUCGCAAAAAGCAUCUGGGCAGAAAUGACUGAAAUGUUCAGGGAAAUCCUGACACUACCAGUCCAUGUCAGUAGUGUAGAUUCUGUUGAAUUUCAUUAAAAAUAGUUCAAAAACUAAAUUUUAUUUUUAUUUAUUUUGUUGAAAGAGUUCAACAACAAAAAAAAAACUAUUGAAAUAUGGCAACCCUACUAUUAAUGAAUUAAUUGAUACCUAAAUAACAUGGGGAUGUGUCCUGAAAGGUUUGUUUGUGUGUGAGGAGGAAACAGACCUAGAAGUAAUGACUGAGUGAAAGGCCGCUGUGACAGGUAGAUGACAUAUGGAAGAAGGAAGGAAAAGAAUGGGAGCAUAACUCAAGAGAGUGUUGCCUUGCUAGUGCCCUUGUUGGCUUUCUUUACUUACAGCCGCUCAUCUAGUUAGGGACUGUGGUUUUAUUGCUUUGAGAAUAGCUCUGAGUAGGUGCAGACAUUCUUCCAUUGCUUCUGUUUUUCUCCCCAGCCAGCAAGCUCUUGGCUUUAUUCUGUCCUGCACCUGCUUUUGAUUUAUACACCUCUGUGCUAUUUAAUUCCAGGAUUGUUGACUUUUGUUUUCAGUUCAUUCUAUUACCAUCCUACCCUCCGGGCACUUUCAACCUCCACCAUUUUAUGGGUCAAUAUAUCAUGAAUGUCCAAAGCAUUAAUAUUCUAAAGUAAGAAAUGAUCCGCAUCUGACUGACCCAGUGGAAGGAAGGGGAAAUGACUUAGAAUCUAAUAAUUUGAGGCGACUGAAAUUGAACGUAGUCCAAGAAUAUGUGCAAAGGGUUAUGUUUGAAACCAAUGUCUAUUUCAAUCAUCUCAGGCCCUCCAACUGGCAGGGGAAGUCUGGUUGGCAUUGACCUGAGACAGGGCCUUCUCAGUGGUAGUUCCCUGUUUGUGGAAUUCCCUCCCUGUUGAGGUGCGUCUGUCUCCCUCACUAUUGACUCCCAGGAGAUUUAAUUUAAAAACAGUCCUGUUUCCCCAGACAUUUGAUGGCUGAAAGGCACUAGCCAUGGCACCUGUGUAAUUAAUAAGUGCACAUGCAAUUGCUUUUAAAUGUUUUUAGAUGCUCAUUUUGAAUUCUGGUGCUGGAGGAGACUCUGGAGAGUCCCAUGGACUGCAAGAAGAUCAAACCUAUCCAUUCUGAAGGAAAUCAGCCCUGAGUGCUCACUGGAAGGACAGAUCCUGAAACUGAGGCUCCAAUACUUUGGCCACCUCAUGAGAAGAGAAGACUCCCUGGAAAAGACCCUGAUGUUGGGAAAGAUGGAGGGCACAAGGAGAAGGGGACGACAGAGGACGAGAUGGUUGGACAGUGUUCUCGAAGCUACCAGCAUGAGCUUGACCAAACUGCGGGAGGCAGUGGAAGACAGGAGUGCCUGGUGUGCUCUGGUCCAGGGGGUCACAAAGAGGCGGACACGACUAAACGACUAAACAACAACAACAGAUGCUCUAGGUGUUUUUAAUGCUUCAGAUGGCUUUAAAAUGUUUUCAAAUGUUUUGUUGUUGUUGUGCUGUUCUAACAUUUUUAUGCUUAUUGCCCUGGGCUCCUUUGAGCAGAAGGAUGGGAUAGAAAUCUAACAAACAUCAUCAUCAUCUUCAUCAUCAUCAUCAUCAUCAUCAUCAUCAUAUUUACUUAAAUUCAGUGAGACAUGCAUCUGAGUAUGCACAGGGAAUGCGUGCAGGAACCUGACAUUUUCUCUUGCUGUGCAUUGCCAGUUGUGGACAAAAGAAACCUCUUCCAAAACAGUGGUACCUCGGGUUACAAAUGCUUCGGGUUACAAAUGCUUCAGGUUAUGAACUCCGCUAACCCGGAAGUAGUUGCUCUGGGUUGUGAACUUUGCCCGAGCAUGAGAACGGAAAUCACACACUUCCGGGAGGCCCCAUUAGUGAAAGCGCUCCUCAGGUUAAGAACGGUUUCAGGUUAAGAACGGACCUCCGGAACAAAUUAAGUUCGUAACCCGAGGUACCAUUGUAUGAUUUGUUGAUGAAGGAGAAGUGUCUCAAGAAGAAGAAGAAGACUUUGGAUUUGAUAUCCCUCUUUAUCACUACCCGAAGGAGUCUCAAAGCGGCUAACAUUCUCCUUUCCCUUCCUCCCCCACAACAAACACUCUGUGAGGUGAGUGGGGCUGAGAGACUUCACAGAAGUGUGACUGGCCCAAGGUCACCCAGCAGCUGCAUGUGGAGGAGCGGGGAAGCGAACCCGGUUCACCAGAUUACGAAUCCACCGCUCUGAACCACUACACCUCCCUGGCUCUCAAGAUGUAGUAUUCCUGUUCAACGAAAGGAAUACAAAUAUAGGCUGCUAGGAAAUCUCUACUCAUGUCACCCCAAAAUCCAAAACACUGUCAUGCCAGGGCCUAGCUCCACACACUCCUUUCAUUAACAUUUCAGACACCUUACAACAGGGCCAGCCCAAGACAUUUUGUCACCUGAGGCAAACCACAAAAUUCUCCCUCCCCACCAGAGAAGAAGGGGUGAGUGAAGAUCUACAUCAGGAACAAGGGAGGAAUAAGGAUCUACAUUGGGAACAAGGGUGGGAGGAGACCACCAGCGCCUCCUUUUCGCCCAAAGGCGGCAUUGGGAGGGGAGCUGCUGAGGAGCUAGCAGAUCUCCAAGGCGUGCACCACAGCUGUUGCUGCUAUUGUAGAAGCAGAAGCAGCACCAGUGGGAGAUGCAUUCUUUGCAGGCUGGAUCUGCUCCCCUGUGGAUCCUGCCAUCCAAGACAAUUGCCUCACCUUGCCUCAUAUCACCUGUGCGAUAUGAAGUCUGUGAAGUGGGGAGCCUUCCCUGAGCAUUUUGAUUUUUCGAGCGUUCCACAACAUACUGGGAGCCUCCGCAGAUUCUCAAAGCUCCCCACUUCACACCAUCUCCUUCCAUGAUUUGGAAGGCGACUGAAAUAGCAGGACUAGCACACUUGUCUCUGAUUUCCCCCUUGUGUAUUCACUUGUUCACAUUCAUAAAGCCUGACAAGCACUCCUGAGUCAAGAACAUCUUAGAGUUCCAAUCAUUGCUUUGUCAGCAGAGAAAUACCCACCAGCUGCAUCUGAUUAUGCUUAGACUAUCUUUAGAAACUAUAUUAAUUGCUCUAGCAGCCACUAACUGUGCUUGAAUGGGUUAAUUGCUGCUCUCCGUCACCUGCUUUUUAUAGUAGGACCAUUUCUUCCUUCUCUGUUCCCAUCAGUUUGCACUUCCUGAGAGCAUUGGCUGGGUUCCCGCCCGCUCUCAGCCAUUCCCUUAUCAACAGGCAUUCCAAGGGGAAGGGGAGUUGGCACCAACCGAUGCUCAUCCUGUAUGGCAGUUAACCCUCUCUGUUCCUGGCUGCUUUCUUCAAUGGUCUGCAAACCUACACUGGGAGCUGGCUGUAAACCUUCACUGGGAGCUGGCUCAUUCAUGACACCACUUGUCCCGUGCCUCUUUUCCAGGCAAAGAGGAGACUGAGAGGAGAUAUGAUAGCUGCCUUGUUUGAUAAGCUGACUGGGUCCACUACGUUUCCACUGCUCCAGAAUUUCCAGCCAGUAGCAGAGCAGCAGUGCGUGCUUGAUGUGUGAGUGAAGAGAGAGCCAGUGUGGUGUAGUGGUUAAGAGUGGUAGACUUGUAAUCUGGUGAACCGGGUUCGCGUCUCCGCUCCUCCACAUGCAGCUGCUGGGUGACCUUGGGCUAGUCACACUUCUCUGAAGUCUCUCAGCCCCACUCACCUCACAGAGCAUUUGUUGUGGGGGAGGAAGGGAAAGGAGAAUGUGAGCCACUUUGAGGCUCCUUCGGGUAGUGAUAAAGAGGGAUAUCAAAUCCAAACUCUUCUUCUUCAUACACUGUUUCUUUCUAAACUAAACAGCUUUUAUUUACAUCAGACAGAUAAAAUAACAAACACCGUCAGAGACAGCAGCCAUUGCGUGUGUCUCUGCUGCUUCUCCGUUGAGAAGUGAAAGUAACUCCACAGACAAAGAACUCAGCUCCUGGAUGUAGGAAGCUCCUCCCCAGAUGCAGGACACAUAGAGGUUAACCCUAUAAACACUAAACCUCACAUGCCUUCAAAUAUCUAAAGGGCUGUCACAUGGAAGAUGGAGCAAGUUUCUUUUCUCCUGGCUCCAGAGGGCACGACCCAAACCAAGGGCUUCAAGUUACAAGAAAGAAGAUUUCAACUAAACACCAGGAAGAACUUUCUGAUGGAAUGAACCAUUCAACAGUGGAAUGGACUUCCUUGAAAGGUGGUGGACUCUCCUUCCUUGGACGUUUUUAAGCAGAGGUCAGGUGGCCAUCUGUCAUGGUUGCUUUAGUUGCGAUUCCUGCAUUGCGGGAAGGUUGGACUCUACAAAUCUAUAAAUCUGUGGUUCUAAAUGUAAGGAACGGGGCUUUCUCCAUCAGGCAACCUUCUCAGCAAAGGCAAACAAAAUUAGCUUGGCCUCUUUUGUUGAACUUGGCUACUGCCAUCUUUUUAUAAUUGCUUUUAAUUUCAAAAGGACUUGGCCGACAGUUGCUGAUAAAGAUAUUGUUGAAUAUAAUGUUUUAUUUGUUUUAUUGCCAUUGCUUUCAGUGGUGUUGUUGUUCAUUGAAAUUGUGAUGUGCACAAGCUAGCUGUCUUAUUUCCAUGGUGCUUUCUGCUUUCCACCCAACGGUCUCUGAUUUCUAUGGAAACUCCAUGGGGCAUCUCUGAUAUCCUUGCUUUUAGAAACCGCAAGCAUAAAUUGGAAGUGCAUACAAAUGUAGAUGCUGUCCAUUGCUUUCAAUGAGACAUGCAUCUAAUGUGCAUUCAACUGCAGAUGCUGUCCUUUGCUCCCAAUAGGAUAUUUAUUUUUAGCUCCCCAGACUAGUUUGUGCAGGAGUUGCUUCAUCCAGCCACUGGUAAUAUUUUUCCCUUAGUUGGAAGUAAAGCAGAUAGAAUGUGAUAGAAAGCAGGUCUGGGAUAACUGUUUGCACCUGUGGAAUUGCAAUGUCCCCAUUGUACAUCACCCUGCAGGAUUGCUCAGGCACCCUUAGAUGAAUUAUUGGUUUCAUUGUUGUAUAUCAUAUUUUGUGCCUUUUACAGCUUAUGAAUACUAUAAAUAAUACAUAAACAAUUCCAUGUUGGAACUGAACGUGUACUUGCACAAAUGCUUAUGGGGCUCAUUUUAUUUUAUUUAUUGUUUCUCAAUGACGAUAUGCCUAGUGAGGCAUUUGUGUGAAUUUAGCUACUAAGAGGUGUGAACAUAAUCUACACAAUUUGGUUUGCACACACUGGUGAUUUGUGCUCAUGACUCACAUGGCAGGUUCACUAUGUGCACAUAAAAGCUAUGUAGAUUAAAUAAAAGUAAAAAUCUUCUAAAGGAUUUAAAAGAAGACCAGGAUUGAUGUAGUUACGUAGCCCACCGUAUGCAGAGGGUGGCACAAAAAUAUAAGGUUGUUUUUUUAAAAAAAACCAACUCAUUCUCAGCCUUGCUCCGAGUCCCACUUCAAAUAAAGCAAUCAGAUGUACCAGAAUAUCAAGUGAUAGCUGAAGCUCUUCAGACUUGCCUCCUCCCUCCCCACUUGGUUCCAUCACUGACACUGCUUCCUCAAAGGCACCCCAAUACCAGGUGCCCAAAUUGUCUGCAAUGGGUUACAAAUGAAGAGGGGGCUGUGGCAACAGUGGGAGGAAGAAGAGAUAUCAGGUAGAGGCAGUGCUUUUUUCUAAAAAAAAUGUUUAGGGGUACUCUCAUUUUAGGGACGCAGGUGGUGCUGUGAGUUAAACCACAGAGCCUAGGGCUUGCCGAUCAGAAGGUGGGCGGUUCGAAUCCCCGCAACGGGGUGAGCUCCUGUUGCUCGGUCCCUGCUCCUGCCAACCUAGCAGUUUGAAAGCACGUCAAAGUGCAAGUAGAUAAAUAGGUACUGCUCCGGCGGGAAGGUAAACGGCGUUUCCGUGCGCUGCUCUGGUUUGCCAGAAGCGGCUUAGUCAUGCUGGCCACAUGACCCGGAAGCUGUACGCUGGCUCCCUCGGCCAAUAAAGCGAGAUGAGCGCCACAACCCCAGAGUCGGCCACGACUGGACCUAAUGGUCAGGGGUCCCUUUACCUUUACCUUACUCUCAUUUUGGCUGCUCCCCCUCUCCCUCGCCCCUUUCCUCCCUCGCCAACCCACAGAUGUGGGACUUGAGGCGAUGGCGCUGCAGGAGUCAGCUUGAGCAAGAAGGGGCGAGUGCUUGCCAUCUGGCUCUACCCCUGCAAGAGGAGUAGGAGCAGCACCGUCGCCUCCACCAUGGCCACCCCAGACUCCCCUCCCCGGGCACCGGCGGGGAGAAUGACGGAGCUCCAGUCCGCGCUGCUACUGCGGAGACAGCUGGCAUGUCGGUCUGUCAGACAGGGCAACACAAAAUAUUUAGGGGUACGCAUCCCCCUGUGUCCCCCCCCCCCGAAAAAAGCACUGGGUAGAGGAUAGGAACGUUGAAGGGUUUCAGCCAGCCUUUGGUUUGCUGAAUGUCUGACAGUUCACCUUGACACAAGUAUCUGAAGAAAUGCUCCAAGCUUUCUUUAAAUUUACAUCUAUAUUCAGCUUCAGCCUAUUGAAAGCAACAGCCUCACUCUCUGGUGAGCCGAACUGCAAAAUGUUACAGUCUUGGCGUAUAGUUAGAUCUUCCUUUCAGACUGCGUUUCGGAGACACUCAACCCUGUCAAAGCCAAUUUUGACUGAAAGCCAAUUCUCCUUGUCUUGAUCCAGACAAGAAACUUGAGAAUUCUCUCUCUCCCAAUUUAUAAUGUCAGUGCAGCUAUAUGGUACCAUAUGCAUGUAGCAUUAUUGUAGUAUCCUUGUGAAUUGCUUCAGCAAUGGCUGAGAGCCAUUUGGAAAUUCACCCCCCACACUGAAACAAACGGAAGACAAAAAUACAGAGUUUCAGGAGGGGCAGAAUUGCAGUGGAGGAUGAUGUCAGCUAAAGGAAAGCUAGUUGCUAGUAGUUUGGAAUCCAACAUUGCAGCCAUGGGACACACAGAACCUGCUUUGAGCAUAAUGCUUUGAAAACUUCCACAAUAGGCUCAGGUUGCAUAUAUAUGCAUAAAUGAACCGUAUAUAAUAAAGACACCACAGUCUCUGCUGUGCCUCACUGUCCAAAUGGAAACACAGACCCUGGUAAGUGUGCCUGGCACCCCUAGAAUCUCACACUGCUUAGAGUUUGGGGGGCCAUGUAACAGUAUUGUUGUGAGUUUGUGGAGGGCGUCAGACUACCCUAAAUCUGAAUUUAAGCAAACCCCACCUUAAACUCUUGGAUCUAGCAAGGGUUGGAAUAACACAGGGCAGCUUCCUCAUGAGGCAAUCACUUGAUAACGUCUGAGUUGUUAACCUGACGAAAAGUAGGUAGAUGGGCCACAGGGAGAUUCAGUGCCAGACAGCCAAAUGGACCCUCGUUUUAGUUGGUAAAACUAAAGGCCAGUGUUAUUUUUUAGGAUUACAGUUGGCAGUGAUGUACUAGCAAAACUGUGACAGACUGUAGAAAGGAGACAAAAAGCAUGGCUGAUUUCUGUUUCGUAUCCAAGGCUGCUGCCCCUAUGGGAAAAGCAAGAGACCCUCUUGUAGUGUAAUGCUGGGAAAUGCUCUCCAUCGUAGGCGCAGGUUGUACUGUAUAGAGGUGUAAAUAAACCAUAUAUCAUAAAGACACCACAGCCUCUGCUGUGCCUCAUUUCCAAAGGAAACAUAAACCCUGAAUAACCCCUGUAAUCUCACACCACUCAGAGAUUUGGGUGCUGUGUAACAGUAUUUUAAAGCAGGGUCUCUCUCUCUCGCACUCUCUCUCUCUCUCUCUCUCUCUCUCUCACACACACACACACACACACAAAAUGUUAAUAAAAAACAAUUGUUAGGAAUUACUCAAGUAGUGAGAAGAUAUACCACAAACAAAAGCCUGUCCGGUCACACAGUUCACAGCAAACAAUGAGGGGCUAACAUUAAAAAACAUUUUGUUCACGUGCUUACAAAGCUUUGUCACACGUAGUUCCAUGCAAUCGAUGAUGCUCCAUAAGAGUUUCAACAAAAAUAAGAAGCUAACGCGACUUUUGCACUUACAACCUGCAAAGCAGCGUGACACAUUUGAACAAUCUCAUUUUGCUUGCAAAGCUGCGUAAGAACUCCCGGGGGAAAUGGCGCUCAGUUCAUAGUACAACCUUGAACGUUAUGAGCUGGACAGUCUCAUAUUCUGGACUAGGUAAUUAUGAACUCCAGCAGUUAUUAAUUCCUUGACCAGUUCUUGGCUUGAGAUUGCAUGCUGUCAACACAAGAGCCAUUUCUACAGCUCAAAGAAUGCAGCACUGCCAGUUAUUCAGCUGGUAUGAAUAAAUGUGCCAUUUGCAGAAAAAAGGUCUAGAUUAUGCCUUUUAUCCUUAUGCCUUUCAUUCCUGUGAAGUAUAGUCCCGUGCUGACAAGACUAUAAAUUGUUCCACAGAUAUACAUACUUUUGUUCUAAUAACAUCCAUCGUGUAUAAUAUUUCAAUAGUAUAUGAAGUGCUUCCUUGUUACUUAUUUUUAUGAGCGUCUGCACUGCACAUGGCAUAUAUUAACAUUUACUGUUCCUUAUAAUGGGAUCAUUUGGGAUACAGCUCCCCAUUGUUAUUAUCUUCACUCUGUUUUGAAAGUAUAAUAGGCAUACAUAUCUUUCAGUGUGCAUCGCUCGUAAGAGUGGCUGCUUUUAAGAAAGAUAGACAGAUAGACCUACGGCACAAGCACGGUUGCGUUUAUCAUUGACAAUUGUGCAGUGUAUAUGAAGGUACAGUGAGCAAACUCAGCUCAAGGUGGAGGCAAGUGUCAGCUGCAGAAAACCCCUCAAGUAGCUGCAAACCCAACUCAUGCUGGGUUUGAUCCAAGUUGUCGAGAUUCAUGCAGCCACUUGGAACAGAGGCAGGCAACCUAAGGCCCGUGGGCCAGAUGCGGCCCAUUCGCCUUCUCAAUCCGGCCUGUGGACGGUCCAGGAAUCAGUGUGUUUUUACAUGAGUAGAAUGUGUCCUUUUAUUUAAAAUGCAUCUCUGGGUUAUUUAGUCCAGCCCACCACAUGGUCUGAGGAACGGUGGAUCGGCUCAUGGUUGAAAAAGGUUGCUGAUCACUGACUUGGAAUGUAAAAAGGUAAAAAGGCAAAGGACCCCUAGAAGGUUAAGUCCAGUCAAAGGUGACUAUGGGGUUGUGGCACUCAUCUCGCUUUCAGGCCGAGGGAGCCAACGUUUGUCCAAAGACAGCUUUCUGGGUCAUGUGGCCAGCAUGACUAAACCGCUUCUGGCGCAACGGGACACUGUGACAAAAGCCAGAGCGCACAGAAAUGUUGUUUACCUUCCCACUGCAGUGGUACCUAUUUAUCUACUUGCACUGGCAUGAUUUUGAGUUGCUAGGUUGGCAGGAGCUGGGACAGAGCAACGGGAGCUCACCCUGUCGUGGGGAUUUGAACCGCCGACUUUCUGACAGCACAGUAGGAUAUUCCCACAGUCACCACUCGCGAUGGCACUGACCUUCAGGGGAGGCUGAUCAAAGGUAACGAUAAUAAGCCUCACACAAAUGUGAGACUAUUAAAACUGUUGGAUAUUCUCACUUGUGUGUGAGAGAAUCAUUUGUUCCAGAAACAGAGAAGAAGGUUCAAGAAGCAGAAGACAGAUUGUUUUGUCUAGACAAGGACAUUUUCUGUGGGAACUGUUCUUUGGACAUGCACAGUGUGACAGGAAGUACUGAUAACAACGGUUCUGUGUGACUUGUUGUAACUUGUUGUGAGUCUCUUGCUCUUAGUGUCAUGCAGAUAGUUCCCCUAAUCCAAACACAAGUUUCUCAACUCACCUCUUCCAAAACUGAAUUACUCAAAGACCCCGGGUGAUCUCUCUCUCUCGCUUUCCAAUUUUUCUACAGUUUCACCAUUCUAUAUAAUAAAGACACCGAGGCGGUCCAAAUGGCACAGCUGAGAGACACGUAUUUUAGUUUCCUAGCAUUGCUAAAAUUCAAGAUUCUUCCAGGAAUUUCACAGCAUGUAGCUGACAACACAAUAAAUCUCUUCUUACAAACACAGCAUCAGAGUUGAUUAUGCUUAAUUAUGAAUGCCCUAUUCUCUCAUGAACUAUCUAAAAGAGUCAUCACUAGUAAUGAAAAAUUGAUUAUUCAGUCAACUGCGUGCCAUUGAUUAAAAUGCUGCAUUCAAGAAAGCAACAGGGAUGAUGAAAUAUACCAGCCUGGGCUUCUUGCACAAGGCAGUGUGGUUUCAGGAAGAGUAGAAUGAAAAUAUUCUGUGGAACUGGACCUGCCACCUGAGCACUAUUUUAUUCAUCACAACAUUUCAUGAAAGUGCAGGUGGGCAAAACUUUGCUCAGUAGUAGCGAAGAACUGGGGUGGGUGGUUUUCUUAUGAGGUGUCCCAGACAGUCAAAGCCACAGGCCUUUUCUUCUCCCUUCCUCCAUUUUUAACCAUACAUAUAUAUUUUUUUAAAAAAAGAAAGCUUUGCUUACAUUGGCAAAGGGCAGUGCCAAUGAGACUCAGCCACCUGGCAUCUUGAUUCAUCCAGAGGCUAGUCUGUGUUAUGGGCACAUCUUUUAGUACUCUACAAUGCCCCAGUCAAUGCCAUUAACGGAUAAAUCCUAUGGAGGUGGUGCGAAAGAAGCCCUGCCAACUGGGCAUAAGGUGGGAUGGCAGAUUUAUUUUCCUUUCCUUCCAGCUUUUUUAUUUUCACCCUGCUUUUGGCUUCAAUGCAGUGGUGUAGUGGGGCACAGGGGUGGUUGCCCCUGGCGCAAAGUUGUUAGGGGUGCAAAAUUUCAAUACCCAGUGCUUCCUCGCUACAGUUGUGUGCUUCUGUUGCUGGUCUCCAUUGGAAAUGGCUUCUCCAUGUGAACCAGGAAGUGACCUCUCCAGAUAACAGAGCAAAUCUAAUUUUCUUAUCUCUGCAGCUGUGAUCUCCAGGGUGACGUGGACGCCAUUAGGCAGUUGAAUGCACAUGUGUACUCCACCUGUUUCCCUCCCACCCUCUGCAGGGCCCCGGGCACUGGCAACCCAUGCUACAUCACUGCUUCAAUGGGAAGGACUUUAAUGUACCAGUCCCAAGGCUGGCAAGGCUCAGUGCCCAUUCUGGGGCUGUGCCAGAGGAGAGAGGAUCCUGCAGAUCCACAGCUUUCCAUGGAAUGCUACCCAGACUCCUAAACUCUGGCCCCAAUGCCAGGGGAACAGUGAUAGCAGAGAAGCUUUUCUCUGCUACACUGAGAAAGCAACACAUGCACAAACACACCCACCCACCAGAGAGCACAGGAUUUCUCCUUGAGGCUUAAAGUAGCUCAAUAAUGGUAGGUAGCUCAGCCCCAACAGUACUUUUCACCUGAUCCAUGUUGCAUACUGUUUACAAAUUAAAAUUCAGUCCAACCUGACUUUAUUCAAAUUUGUAAAACCAGAAACACCCUCCAGGUGUCCCUAUUUUCCAGGGACAGUCCUGGAAAUACAGAAGCUGUUCUAGUUUCUGAUUUGAUCCUGGAAUGUCCCGGUUUUCCUUUUUCCUCCCCUCCAUGUCUCAGAAAACAAAAGUUGUGUGUGUAGGUGCAAAAACAGAGUCCUGUUUAUCCUGACAGUAAAAUACCUGCACCAAAUGAAGGAAAUGGAGACGCUGGCAUACGAAGCCCUUCCCAUAACUUUGAAGGAAAAGGUCACCAAUCCACUUUAAAUUCUUUAAUUGCAAUGCUUCAGCAGCCAGCCUUUUUUUUUUAAGAAACACAUGGAGUGUUGAUUCAUUUAUUGUAAAUGGAGCCUUACACCGUCUACUUAAAAGUAAGUCCCAUGGUAUUCAAUGGAGCUGACUCCCAGGUAACUGGGCAAAGACUGUGCAGCCUUACACUGCAAUCCUAAGCAUUUUUACUCAGAAGUAAGUCCCACUGAGUUCAAUAGGAUUUACUCUGGUAUGUUCCUAAGCAGAGACAUCACCUUAAAAAGCAGAAACAUCACCUUGCCAACCAAGGUCCGUAUAGUUAAAGCCAUGGUUUUCCCUGUAGUGAUGUAUGGAAGUGAGAGCUGGACCAUAAAGAAGGCUGAUCACCGAAGAAUGGAUGCUUUUGAAUUAUGGUGCUGGAGGAGACACUUGAGAGUCCCAUGGACUGCAGGAAGAUCAAACCUAUCCAUUCUGAAGGAAAUCAGCCCUGAGUGCUCACUGGAAGGACAGAUCCUGAAGCUGAGGCUCCAAUACUUUGGCCACCUCAUGAGAAGAGAAGACUCCCUGGAAAAGACCCUGAUGCUGGGAAAGAUGGAGGGCACAAGGAGAAGGGGAUGACAGAGGACGAGAUGGUGGGACAGUGUUCUGGAAGCUACCAGCAUGAGUUUGACCAAACUGAGGGAGGCAGUGGAAGACAGGAGUGCCUGGCGUGCUCUGGUCCAGGGGGUCAUGAAGAGCCGGACACGACUAAACGACUAAACAACAACAUGUUCCUAAGCAUUAUCUCAGUUUCUAUUAUUAUUUUAUUAUUCUAUUAUUAUUUCUAUUAAUAAUAUUAUUAUUAUUAGCACUAGUACUACUACCUCCAUAUCCCACCUUUUUCCCUGACAAGGACUCAAGGCAGCUUACCACUAACAUUUUAUUUCAUUCCAUUUAUCUGUCGAAGCUGUUGUACGUUAUCCCUAGCCUUGUACAUGUUUUCUUUGCUACAAUCCUGUGAAGUAGAUUCGGCAGAGAGGUUGUAAUUUGCUCAAGGUGACUGCUGUAGAAGCGUACGUGACGUCUAUGUGUUCAGCGAGAUCAAGCAUGGAAGAAGCUUCCUGAUGUAGAAUAGGAUGUCCCUGUUUUCAUCGGACAAACGUUGGAGGGCAUGUUAGCAACGGAGGGUAGAAUUCAACAGAGUGAACUAUGUGCACAGGGGGUGAGGUCUACUCACACAGUGGGCCUUCCCCCUCUCUCCCACACAUGGGGGGGGGGACUGGGAGGAAAGUCCUGUUGCACGAGAAGACCUCAUUCCAUGCAUGCAGCAACAGUUGCCAGAGGUAUAUGUGUGUGUGCAUGCCCAGUAUAUCACAAUGGCAGUUGAGCAGGUGUACGUCUGCUGGACGUUUGCCGCUAUAAUUCAGUGUCCUCAAAGCUGCACGGAACCCUCAGGCAGAGAGACAUUUGCUCCGUACGAAAGCAGGAAUAUUUUAACAUAUUACUAAGAGCACAUUUCCAAUAUGAAAAACGAGCCUUUUAAAAUAAAGCAUUUGACAGUUUGUUGUGAAAGAUCAUAAUUAUGCUUUAUAGCUCAAACGGAGCAUUGGCUGCAGGGGGCCGAGUCAUUAUCUGUAUUGAUGCAGUGAUGAUAAGUCACUAAGAAUAAGCCAGGCCUAAUAGUUUAAUUUAGCUGAGCCCAUCUGUAGCUUAGAGCUUCCAGAGGAUAGAGUAGUUUGAUGAAGUAAAGGCAGCCGACUAUGUCACAUUUGUCUCAUAAAAUUACUGGAUCUCAUUAGCAGAUAUAUAAUCAUUCAGUUGCUUCAGUGGGUUCUUAAUCUUAUGGCCAAACGAGAUGUGACAAGGGAGGACUGUAAGCAGGAUCUCCAGUAGUUUUCCAAAUAGGGGAUGUGGUACACUGGGGCGGGGGGAUGCUUUCUUGUUGUUUCAUUAAGCGUAAAGGUAAAGGGACCCCUUACAGUUAAGUCCAGUUGCAAAUGACUCUGGGGUUGCGCACUCAUCUCACUUUACUGGCCAAGGGAGCCGACGUUUGUCCGCAGAUAUCUUCCGGGUCAUGUGGCCAGCAUGACUAAGCCGCUUCUGGCGAACCAGAGCAGCGCACGGAAACACCGUUUACCUUCCCGCCAGAGCAGUACCUAUUUAUCUACUUGCACUUUGACGUGCUUUCAAACUGCUAGGUUGGCAGGAGCAGGGACCGAGCAACGGGAGCUCACCCUGUCGCGGGGAUUCGAACCGCCGACCUUCUGAUCAGCAAGCCCUAGGCUCAGUGGUUUAGACCACAGUACCACCAGCUGUUUUAUUAUCAUUUAUUAAAUUUGUAACCACCCUAUACCCGUGGGUCACAAGGCGGUUCACAAGAUAAAAUCACAAAAUACAUAAUAAAAAUAAAAACUCAAUAAUGCCUGCCCCUCAAAAUCACAUAUUAAAAAGGCAUUGGAUGUCAGUCAACCAAAGGCCUGGUUAAAGAGGAAAGUUUUUGCCUGGCGCCUAAAGGUGUAUAAUGAAGGCGCCAGGCAAACUUCCCUGGGGAGAGCAUUCCACAAAUGGGGAGCCACUGCAGAGAAGGCCCCGUUCUUGUGUUGCCACCUUCCGGACAUCUCGUGGAGGAGGCACACAAAGAAGGACCUCAGAAGGUGAUCUUGGGGUCCAGGUAGGUUCAUAUGGAGAGAGGUGGUCCUUGAGGAAUUGUGGUCCUGAGCCGCUUAAGGAUUUAUAGGUCAAAACCAGCACUUAGAAUUGGGGCUGGAAACUUAUUGGUAGCCAAUGCAGUCAGGCCAAGUUCGGUGUAAUAUGCUCAAACCAUCUAGCCCUGGUGAACAACCUGGCCACUGAAUUCUGCACUAGCUGAAGUUUCCGAACCGUCUUCAGAGGCAACCCUUUCUGCAGUCUAAAUCAGGCACCCACCCCACCCCAACUUCUGCUAUUAGCUCCAGGCAAGAAAAUGAUGGGUACAUCUCUAUUCCUCAGCCAGGAUGGUAAUGGUGGUUUCGACUGAGAAACAGCCAAGAGUUACCACCCUCUCCUUGAGUUAUGUAACUCAGGCUUCAUGUAGGUCGAUUUAAAACAACAGAAACUGCAAAAAGCUUUUAACCUGAGAUUCAUUCCAUGGAUUCAAAUUUUGUUUUUUGCAAUGUUGCCACUUGUCAUUAUACAAAUGUGGCCAUCUAUUACAGAAACAAUGCUACACGUUAAUAAGAGUUUAUAAAAUAUUACAAAGGAAAAAUAUUAAAAAUAUCAAAUUAUGUUGCUGGGGGGGGGCAGGGGGGAGCCAGGAUCAGUAUCGUAAUCCACAGGCAUUUUCAUUUAUUUCUGUAUGCCCUAGAAUUGUGCAUUCUAAAUGUAACACACUUAGUGCCUUUUAGAAGGGACAGCAAUUUAUUUCUGGAGGAUAAUCCCAUUUUAGAAGGUAGCAAUAGAUGGAUGUAUUUAAUACAAAUAUCUUCAUAUACCUCACAUGAAGUCAGUAAGAUCGUCAAUGGUCUGUGGAUUACAAGCGCAGGCUCACAUUUGUCUAGGGAUGCCAUUAAUUUGGCUGUUCCAUUCCACAAGGGAUAAAAUUUUCAGUUGGGGCUUAGAAAAAGCUUUUACAUCAAUUAGAUGCCUUACAUAACUGGGUGCCGCAGAGGUGGGGGGAAGACAGAAUGAUUUAGAUUUACAUCCACUUAUCUCUGCAACUCUUUUCUGUUUCUCAGUGUCGUUGCAAGGUGGAAAAUCUGGCUUCGUGAUAGCCAGAAAAUAACAACAACGACAACCAUGUUGACAGACCCACGUUUAAAAUGAUCAACUGCAUUUUUAUGUCUCCAUGGGCCAUAACCCAUCUCUUCAAAGGAGGAUAUUGUAUAUGAAGAGUCCAGAUUGAAGAUAAUCUUUACUCCAAACUAGAGGGUUUGUCUAAUUGCCUCGUUUUUUACAGCCAUAACCUUGAAGUCAGUAUAAAUGGUUGCUAGUUUGAUUGAGGUUGGUACCAAUAAUACCCACGUAGCAAUUGGUUUUGCACUUUUUCUGAAGGCUCUAGGUGUAUUACUGUUGAUAAUGAGGCACCAUACAAUAUCUGAGAAAUAAUUCUUGAUUCAUAUAGUUAUUGGGCUAGAUGUAUAUGAAUCUUAUCCUUCGUUUCAUGAAAAACUAAGGAGGCCAUUAAAUGUUCUUUCUGCUAAUAGAGCCGUCCUUCAGUUUUGAGUACAGCAGUUACAUGACUGAUGGAGUACAAUUCCUAAAUACCAAAAUGAAGAAACUUGGAUUCCCAUUACACACUUCCUCGUGUUUACUGAAGAACUUUUAGUUUUAUCAUAAUUAAUUUGCAGUUACUCAAUGUGGCAACACAAACUAAACCAUCUUUACAACCUACGCCUUCCAACUUGCAAAUUAAAAUAGCAUCAUCAGCAUAUGAAAGGCGAGAUACUUUACUGUGGCCUACUUUCACUGGGAAAUGUUGACUGCUUUAUAAGAAGGCCACUCUGUCAUUAAAAAAUGAAUUAAAAAGUUAAGAGAGCAAGAAGACUGCCCUGCUAUACAACCCUGGUAAGGAACACUCUUGGAAUCUGGCCAUGUAAUCCAGUUCUGGCACGUAUCAUUUUUCCAGAAAACAUCUGUAGUAAGGAGCUUAAUGGUUAUGAAUUAAUACCCACUGAUUGUAGCUUUCUCCACAUGCUCAUGAAGGGUAGAGUCCAAAGCUGCUUUCAAAUCAGCCUCAAAAAUAUGCUUAGCUAGUCCUGCAAGAUAUUUAUCUAAAGUUGAAUGGUUGCAACAGAAAUCCACCUCUUCUGGGACAAGAAUGGCUUUUUCCUCCAACCAAUUUUCCAGUUUCCCCAACAGGCAUUUAGCACAGAUUUUACUAGUUAUGUCGAACAAACUAAUGGGACUAUAAUUAUCGGAGUUAUUUCUAAGACUCUUACUAUAGAUAAUAAUGGCAAUAGCAGCAACCCAAUUUGAAGGGAAAGUACCAGUUCUAACUAUGUAGAUAAAUAAGGCUGCAGGAAUUGGUGCCAACAAUCUUGAAAAGAAGAAAAUAGAAGGGGGGGUCCAUUUUCAUGCUUAAACACCCUAUUUCCUUCCAUUGAGUUGCAUUAUAUGUAUUAUCCCACCCCCCCAAGCCUUUAUAGGUGCUUUGCAAUUGAUAAAAGUAAGGUGUAGCAAAGUCACUAGAACUACAUCAUCUAAGAAUUGGUUAAGUUGCAUGUAUGAUUGUUUAGAUAUUGCAAUAUUACCUUUCCUCGCAGGUUCACAAAUAACAUCAGAAAUUGAUUUCUGUGUCAAAUCACGCUCAAGUUUUCAGUUCCAUUUCAUACAUUUGUACUUUGAAUAGACAGAGGGGGGGAGUUGUACUUUAUAAAAUGGAACCAAUAGAGCACAAAAGAGGGGGCUGGUUAUCACUAACUGUGAUAGGGACCACCUUGGAUAACAGCCCCCUGUGAAACAGAAGUAUUUUGAGUAUGGCUAGGCAAGCAAAAUUGGGAAAGGAGUAUGACAAGGCUGUAUAUUGUCUCCCUGUUUAUUUAACUUACAUGCAGAAUUCAUCAUGUGAAAGGCUGGGCUGGAUGAAACCCAAGCUGGAAUUAAGAUUGCCAGAAGAAAUAUCAACAACCUCAGAUAUGCAGAUGACACAACCUUGAUGGCAGAAAGUGAGGAGGAAUUAAAGAACCUUUUAAUGAGGGUGAAAAAGGACAGCACAAAAUAUGGUCUGAAGCUCAACAUCAAAAAAAUGAAGAUCAUGGCCACUGGGCCCAUCACCUCCUGGCAAAUAGAAGGGGAAGAAAUGGAGGCAGUGAGAGAUUUUACUUUCUUGGGCUCCAUGAUCACUGCAGAUGGUGACAGCAGUCACGAAAUUAAAAGAUGCCUGCUCCUUGGGAGAAAGGCGAUGGCAAACCUAGACAGCAUCUUAAAAAGCAGAGACAUCACCUUGCCAACAAAGGUCCGUAUAGUAAAAGCUCUGGUUUUCCCAGUAGUGAUGUAUGGAAGUGAGAGCUGGACCAUAAAGAAGGCUGAUCACCGAAGAAUGGAUGCUUUUGAAUUAUGGUGCUGGAGGAGAC
Podarcis lilfordi (Lilford's wall lizard) is the source of this 57607-nucleotide non-coding RNA. The record is from the annotation of a GenBank genome assembly. Lineage: Eukaryota; Metazoa; Chordata; Lepidosauria; Squamata; Lacertidae.